GCCAAUAAUGGCGCUCGGAUGGUUGACUCUCAGUCGCCGCGCAGUGGGAUUUCGCGGCGCGGCGCUCUUCUCUGGGGUCCCUCCGCCGUGGGAAAACGGCGAAGCGGGGGAGGGCGGCGUGGAGGAGCAGCAGAAGAGGAGGGGCCUCCAUCCUCGCAAGGUGUUCGACAGAAUCCCCUCCUUAAAGAAGGGCGGCCCACCCCACCCCGUUCUCUUUCUGGUGGCGGAGGGGAGGUGGUGUGGGGUUCACGGCGAAUGUCCCCCCGGAUGUGAAGGGAGGCGGCGGACCCACCUCCAGGCUCAUCCCGAUUGCCGCCGCCGUCGACUCCCGUGUCCAUCGCAGCUCUCUGGUGGUUCCCUUCAAUCCUUUAUAGGAUUCUUCCGGCAGGUCUACGUUUCUUCCUCCUCCCUCCUCCCACGACUACACGCCACAGCUCGGGUUGUGGAUCCCCCGAGCCGUCUUCCAGAUCUGCCGGAAGAAGGGUUUUUCUCCGCGCAGAGGAUCUUACCUCUGCGCCCCUGGUUUUCCUCCCCUUUGACGUCGUCUCCCCGGGCGAGUGGGCUUCGCUGGUUCAUCCUCAGAUUCGAACGAGCUGCUAUAUUUCCCGAGAGCGUUCCUCGUGGAUCCGCAGAUCUGUUUCCCUCCAUUGUUUAUCAUCGUUAGUUAUUGCUUCUUUUAGUUGUCGUCCUUGGAACGCUCUUUUUCGAAUCCCUGUUUGUCUUCACCUUCUCUCUCUCUCUCUCUCUCUCUCUCUCUCCUCCCUCCCUNNNNNNNNNNNNNNNNNNNNNNNNNNNNNNNNNNNNNNNNNNNNNNNNNNNNNNNNNNNNNNNNNNNNNNNNNNNNNNNNNNNNNNNNNNNNNNNNNNNNNNNNNNNNNNNNNNNNNNNNNNNNNNNNNNNNNNNNNNNNNNNNNNNNNNNNNNNNNNNNNNNNNNNNNNNNNNNNNNNNNNNNNNNNNNNNNNNNNNNNNNNNNNNNNNNNNNNNNNNNNNNNNNNNNNNNNNNNNNNNNNNNNNNNNNNNNNNNNNNNNNNNNNNNNNNNNNNNNNNNNNNNNNNNNNNNNNNNNNNNNNNNNNNNNNNNNNNNNNNNNNNNNNNNNNNNNNNNNNNNNNNNNNNNNNNCUCUCUCUCUCUCUCUCUCUCUCUCUCUCUCUCCUCCCCUCCCCCCCCCCCCCGAUCUGAUGUUCUUUUUCUUUAUAUCGUUCCUCUCCUUCCUCUUCCUAUCCAAGUCCCUCCCCCUGCAGCCCCUCCCCGCAUGGGCAAGUGAGGUGAGACUGCUGUCCCUGCCCGCCUGUCGGGAAAUCCUCGGCUACCUCUCCCGCCGGCUGGUGGGCAGCCGCCAGGUCGCCGCCGCCGUCGUCGCUCUGCUUCCCGCGAUGACCCACAAGAGGAGGAGCUCCAACAGUGUUGAGAAUGUGGAGUCAACGGGCGAGAUGUCGAUUCUCGACUUGCCGGAGCUGACCCUGGAGACAAUCCUCGGCAGGCUCUCGCCAGCGGGGCUCUGCAACAUGGCCGCCGUCUGCAACUCCCUGCGGGAGAGGUGCCGGAGCGACCAUCUAUGGCGGAGGCACAUGGAGGAGAAAUGGGGGAGCUUGAUGGGCCCUGCGACGCAGAGGGACUGGAAAUCGUUCGUCUCCUCUUGUGAGGACAAUCUCGUCGCCCCCGUUGGAGCCGGCUAUCGGAGGGGAUGGCUCAGAGCUCUUUCGUGCGUGUGGCCCCUCUCUUGGUUGACCUCGAAGCUCGGCGGCGCCGCCGAAACCAGGCCCUGGUUGCUGGACAACUCGAUCAUGUCCUGGUAUCUGGCGAUCGAGAGCGGCAUCUUCCGCUUCCCUGCUCAGGUCUUCAAUCGAGAGGUGCUCCUCUUCUCCUCGAUCAAUCACCUCGGCUUCGAUUACAUCAGCUUUCCCCUUUCCGACUUCUGAUCAGAUAUCAUCGUUGAAUUUCAGAACGGGCAUGUGGGGUUCAUGCUGUCCUGUUAUGACGCAGAACUCAGCUAUGAUUCUCGCACGGACGCCUUCACCGCGAGGUACCCGCCGCACGGCCGACGGACGAUGGUGGUCGAGGAAGGAGUGCCAUGGGAGAGACUGAGAGCUUCGCCGGUGGAAACCUCUGCUCACGAGCUCCACCUCUCCGAUUGCCUCGCCGAUCUGCGGCCUGGGGACCAUGUCGAGAUCCAGUGGAGAAGAAACAAGGAAUUCCCUUACGGUAGAUCCUCCCUUCCUGCUGCCCUCUCAAUGAGGAUCGAAGCUGGCUUGUCCCAGAAAUCUCCACCCGAGAGCUCAAUUUUUUUACCGGAGGUUUUAAUGGCUUCUCGCCGUCUGUGGCAGGCUGGUGGUACGGCGUCGUGGGUCACCUGGGUUCCUGCAGCGGGAACGAGCUCCAUUGUCGCUGUCACAGCAGUGGUAAGCUGCUACUCCUUCGAUGGGCGAAAUCCAUUCCCUUUCUUCUCCCCCUGAACCUUCUCCCCUUCUGUUUUGGCAGACACAGUGGCGCUGGAGUUCAACCAGUACACGGAGGGCUCGCGGUGGAGAAGAGCGAUCCUCAGUCGGAAGGAUCACCGGGAAGAAGGGAGCGAGGCGGAGGGCUUCUACGGCGGGGUCAGGAAGCUCCGCCGCGACGACGAGAUCGCCGCCUGGAGGCGGCUCUGGCCGGCCGGCGUGUUGGACUGAUUGGCCGCUCGGCAUCCUCUUCUGUUGCCAUUUUCUUUGCUCUUUUGGGCUGACCGCAUCGAAGACGGCAGCGUCGGCCGUAGGUUUUCGUGGAAAAGCCCGCAGCUUUCGUCUGUAAAAAUCCCUGUAAUAUAUUAUAUCAUACCUCCGCACGACUCCGAUGAACAGGCACGCAGAACCCAUCCGCCGAUUGAAUUUCGCUAGAUUAAAUUGAAGCCCAGAAGCGGGUUUUUAAGGAUAUUCAUUCCAUUUUGAGGAAUUUUCUUGAUUUCGAGGUGUUUUCUACGAGCUUAGAUCCGGUGAAAAUUAACUCUGGGGAUCCGUUCCGUGAUUUCGUUGACUAUCCGGGUCGAUUUUUCGAGUCAGAGACGUGGAAAUUACUGCCCGCCGACUGCUUGGGCCUCAAGACAAUAGCCGUCGCCGCCGCCGCGGCCUAUAAGGCGGCGACCAUGGCGAGCCAUCCGGCAUCGCUGAAACCAGGCUGGCCGCCAUGGACGGAGGGGAGCUCAAGCUCUACGGCAUGUGGGGGAGCCCCUUCGUGCUGCGAGUCCGGCUCGCCCUCAAGCUCAAGGGCCUGGACUACGAGUACGUGGAGGAGGACCUGUCCAACAAGAGCGCCGCCCUCCUCCGCCUCAACCCUGUGCACAAGAAGGUCCCCGUCCUCCUCCACGGCGGCCGCCCCAUCGCCGAAUCGGCCGUCAUCCUCGAGUACAUCGACGAGACGUGGCCCCAGAGGUUCCCCCUGAUGCCCGCCGAUCCCCGCGAGAGGGCCGCCGUGCGCUUUUGGUGCCACUUCACCAGCGAAAAGGUCAGCCGGAACUCUGCCGGGGGAUCGCGCCUCACCAUUACCCGUCCUUGCUCCUCACCUCUCGCUGCUCCUACAGAUGUUUCCCUCGAUUGCGGCGAUCUUCCACUCCACCGGCGAGGCGCAGAGUGUGGCCAUCGCCGAAGCGCGGGAGAAUAUGAAGCAGCUUGAAGAUGAGCUCCGAGAGGGCUUCUUCCGAGGGAGGAGAUUCUUCGGUGGUGAGAAGCUGGGCUUCCUGGAUAUCGUCCUCGGCUGCGAUGUGCACUUGUUCCGCGUCGUCGCAGAGGUGACCGAAGCCGACCUCGACAAGGACUUCCCCACCUUCGCCCAGUGGUUUCAGGACUUCCAAGCCCAGCCUGAGGCCCAGGAAGUGCUUCCCCCUUUCGACAAGCUGGUCGACUUCCUCCACGCCCACCGCCGGAAGGUACUGGGUCAAGCUUAGGAAGACGACUUUCUGUAAACUCUCCAGUCAGCUCGUGCAAUAAGGAGAGGGGAGAGGGGAGAGGAGAGAGGAGAGAGAGAGAGAAAGAAUUAUGUUACGUAUGAAUCGAUUUCAAUUAAUAUAUUAAAUAAUAAAUUAUCAGUAGUCUAAAGAGUUUAAUGACUAAUUUACCCCAAAAUUAUGGCAGAACAGCCACAUAACUCAUAAUCAUUAGUUUGUUGUUAUAAAUUUAAGAUUAGAUGGUGUGAAAAAAAAAGUCCAGAGUGAUCCAUUAAUAAUAAUAUUUUAAAAUUGGCGUGUUUAGUCCGGUUCCCUACGAUUUCGGAGAACCGGUUCGGAUUGAGAAAACCGCCCCCGGAUCGGGAUAGUGCGACCGGCGGUCCGGUGACUGGUCGUAUUAGAUCAGCGAAAUCCAUUCCAUUUCUUCUCCCCCUGAAUCUUCUCCCCUUGCGUUUCGGCAGACGCAGUGGUGCUGGAGUUCAACCAGUACACGGAGGGCUCGUGGUGGAGAAGAGAGAUCCUCAGUCGGAAGGAUCACCGGGAAGACGGGAGCGAGGCGGAGGGCUUCUACGGCGGGGUCAGGAAGCUCCGCCGAGACGACGAGAUCGCCGCCUGGAGGCGGCGCUGGCCGACCGGCGUGUUGGACUGAUUGGCCCUCGGCAUCCUCUUCUGUUUUCUUUGCUCUUUUGGGCUGACCUCAUCGAAGACAGCAGCUUCGGCCGUAGGUUUUCAUGGAAAAGCCCGCAGCUUUCGUCCGUAAAAAUUCCUCUAAUAUAUUAUAUCACACCUCCGUACAAGGAGUCCGAUGAACAGGCACGCAGAACUCAUCCGCCGAUUGAAUUUCGCUAGAUUAGAUUGAAGCCCAGAAGCGGGUUUUUAAGAAUGUGCAUUCCAUUUUGAGGAAUUUUCUUGAUUUAGAGGUGUUUUUUACGAGCUUAGAUCUGGCAAAAAAUUAACUCCGGAAUCCGUUCCUUGAUUUCGUCAACUUUUGCGGCACCGGGGUCUACCUCAGACUACUCUGCAACUAUGGGUUCGAUUAUCCAGUCAGAGACGCGGAAAUUACUCCUCGUCGACUGCUUGGGCCUCAAGACAGGAGCCACCGCCGCCACCUAUAAGGCGGCGACCAUGGCGAGCCAUCCGGCAUCGCUGAAACCAGGCUGGCCGCCAUGGACGGAGGGGAGCUCAAGCUCUACGGCAUGUGGGCGAGCCCCUACGUGCUGCGAGUCCGGCUCGCCCUCAAGCUCAAGGGCCUGGACUACGAGUACGUGGAGGAGGACCUAUCCAACAAGAGCGCCGCCCUCCUCCGCCUCAACCCUGUGCACAAGAAGGUCCCCGUCCUCCUCCACGGCGGCCGCCCCAUCGCCGAAUCGGCCGUCAUCCUCGAGUACAUCGACGAGACGUGGCCCCAGAGAUUCCCGCUGAUGCCCGCCGAUCCCCGCGAGAGGGCCGCCGUGCGCUUCUGGUCCCACUUCGCCGUCAACAAGGUCGGCCAGAACUCCGGGGAGAUAUCCAUCCCCACUCCUCAGCCAUUCCUUUUGUCAAUUCUCCUUGCUCUUGCAGUUGGGUCCCUCGGUGACGGCGAUCUUCCGCUCCACCGGCGAGGGGCAGAGGGCGGCCGUCGCCGAAGCGCGGGAGAAUAUGAAGCUGCUGGACGAUGAGCUCUCGGAGGGGCUCUUCCGGGGGAGGAAGUUCUUCGGCGGGGAGAAGCUGGGCUUCCUGGACAUCGUUCUCGGCUGCGGGUCGCACUGGCUCCGCGGCGUUGAAGAGGUGGCCGGAGAGGACAUCGGCGAGGACUUCCCCUCAUUCACCCGCUGGCUUCGAGAGUUCGAAGCUCAGCCGGAGGUCCAGGAACUGCUUCCCCCUUCCGACAGGCUGCUCGACUACGUCCGCGGCGUCCGCCAAUUGCUACUGAAUCAGUCUUAGGAAGACGACUUCUGCCUGCUCUCCAGUCAGCCCAUGGAAUAAGGAGAGAAGAGCGAGAGCGAGAGAGAGAGAGAGAGAGAGAGGAUCGUGUUUCCAGGGACUGGUAUAAAUCAAUCUUUAGUAUUAACUAAUCUAGUAUUAGGCGUUCCGUCUCGGUCGAGUAAAGAGCUUAAUGACUACUUCACUAUUAUAAUUCUCAGAUCGGAUCAUGAAGAAAAUAAAGUCGGCGCUAUAAGGAGAGAAGACAUCGCUGUGUUACCCGGGACUGGUAUAAAACUAUUUUAAAUGAAUGCAUUAAGUAAUUAUAUCUACCGCGUAAAUAACUUAAUGACCACUUUACCUAUAAAACCGCAAGGAAUUAGCUUAAGAUAGAUCCUUCUUGGUGCCACCUGACGAGAAUCGAAAUUGCCCUCUGUCCCUGAACUCUCCAUCCGAUGGAGUUUUCAUGAUUUCUCACUAUCCGUGGGUGGCUAGUAAUACGGCGUUGUAAGUCACCCAUGCUCCUACGACGGAAACAAGCUCCAGUAUCACUGUUAAGAUUAAAAAUUUAGGGUUUAAGGUUUAAAAUUUAGGGUUGGUGAAGUACUAAUUCUUCAAUAUGCAAAACCCAUCCGGGCCAUCAGUAACAUCAGGAAGAUGUGAACGAGGCGGAGAGCUUCUACGGCAGGGCCAGGGAGCUCCGCCGCGACGACGAGAUCAUCCCAAGCAGUCCGCCGCUUCCCUCUUCUUCUCCUCCCCUCGUUCUGAGUUCGCUGUGCGAUCGGUUGGCGGGAGGAUGACGCCUGGAGUGUCACCGUCCUGCGUGGAGUCGUGGGCUUCGUGGGGUGACGAUAAGAGGGGGACGUCGUUAUCGUGCUGAAUAAGUGCAAGUGUGGAGCGAUAGAUAUCCUGACUGCUUCGGUAGUGCUAUGGAAGUCGUGGACGACGUGGGCGACGUGCAGACGUGCAGCUUCGGCCGUAGGCUUCCGUGGAAAAAGCCGCAGCUUUCGAGUGUAAAGAUCCCUGUAAUGAUAUUAUAUCACACCUCCGCACGACGAGCCCGGUGAGUGAAUUUCGUGAGAUUAAUUAUUUUUAUUCCCGUUCAAAUAUGAUCCCAGAAGCGGGUUUUUAAGGAUGUUCGUUCCCUUUUGAGGAAUUUUCUUGAUUUCGAGGUGUUUUCUACGAGCUUAGAUCCGGCGAAAAUUAACUCUGGGGAUCCGUUCCGUGAUUUCGUUGCCCAUCGACUGCUUGGGCCUCAAGAUAACAGCCGUCGCCGCCGCCGCGGCCUAUAAGGCGGCGACCAUGGCGAGCCAUCCGGCGUCGCUGAAACCAGGCUGGCCGCCAUGGAUGGAGGGGAGCUCAAGCUCUACGGCUUGUGGGCAAGCCCCUUCGUGCAGCGAGUCCGACUCGCCCUCAAGCUCAAGGGCCUGGACUACGAGUACGUGGAGGAGGACCUGUCCAACAAGAGCGCCGCCCUCCUCCGCCUCAACCCUGUGCACAAGAAGGUCCCCGUCCUCCUCCACGGCGGCCGCCCCAUCGCCGAAUCGGCCGUCAUCCUCGAGUACAUCGACGAAACGUGGCCCCAAAGGUUCCCCCUGAUGCCCGUCGAUCCCCGCGAGAGGGCCGCCGUGCGCUUCUGGUGCCACUUCACCGGGGAGAAGGUCAGCCGGAACUCUGCCGGGGGAUCGCGUCUCACCAUUACCCGUCCUUGCUCCUCACCUCUCGCUGCUCCUGCAGAUGUUUCCCGCGGCAGUUGCGAUCAUCAGCCCGGGCGACGAGACGCAGAGGGCGGCCGUCGGCGAGGCCCGGGAUAAUCUGAAGCAGCUUGAAGAUGAGCUCCGAGAGGGCUUCUUCCGAGGGAGGAGAUUCUUCGGUGGUGAGAAGCUGGGCUUCCUGGACAUCGUCCUCGGCUGCGAGAUGCACCUGCUCCGCGCCGCCGCAGAGGUGGCCGGAGCCGACCUCGGCGAGGACUUCCCCACCUUCGCCCAGUGGUUUCAGGACUUCCAAGCCCAGCCGGAGGCCCAGGAAGUGCUUCCCCCUUUGGACAGGCAGGUUGACUUCAUCCGCGACUACCGCCGGAACGUACUGGGUCAAGCUUAGGAAGACGACUUUCUGUAAACUCUCCAGUCAGCUCGUGCAAUAAGGAGAGGGGAGAGGAGAGAGAGAGAGAAUUGUGUUACGUAUGAAUCGAUUUCAAUUAAUAUAUUAAAUAAUAAAUUAUCAGUAGUCUAAAGAGUUUAAUGACUAAUUUACCCCAAAAUUAUGGCAGAACAGCCACAUAACUCAUAAUCAUUAGUUUGUUGUUAUAAAUUUAAGAGCAGAUGGUGUGAAAAAAAAAGUCCAGAGUGAUCCAUUAAUAAUAAUAGUUUAAAAUUGGCGUGUUUAGUCCUGUUCCCUACGAUUUGGGAGAACCGGUUCGGAUUGAGAAAACCGCCCCGGAUCGGGAUAGUGCGACCGGCGGUCCGGUGACUGGUCGUAUUAGAUCGGGGACGACGGAGCAGUGUAGACUUUCUGUUGUCUGCUCGCCGCGGAAACCCUAUCUGCACCGUGAGACUCAGCGGCGCCGCCCUCCUACGCCGCGAGGGCCUGGCUCGGCCGCCGGUGACUGUUCGUGUGCUGGGACAUGGCUGGACGAGGUCGUAUGCCCUCCCGGCACGCCUUUCAUGAUGGCAGUCGGCGUGCGCCUUACCCCGACGUACACGACGGCAAUCCCUUCCCGCGCGGGGGGCCGCCGCCUCCUCGACCGCCUCCACCGGCGGUAUACGAGGAGGAGAUCGAAUUCCAGAUGGGGGAGAUCCGGAGGCUCGUUGGGGAUAACCGCAGGCUUGCCGACAAUUGCGCAGGCCUGCAACGGGAGUUGGCCAUGGCCAAGGAGGAGAUCCACCGCUUAAACAUCUUUAUCCAAGAUGUUCGGGCUGAUAAGGAUGCACAGAUUAGGGAUCUGAUAGAGAAGGGCAUGAAAAUGGAGGCUGACCUCCGUGCGGCAGAGCCCCUUCGGAACGAAGUGGCACAGCUUCGUGCUGAUCUUCAGAAGCUAAAAUCUAUACGGCAGGAACAGGUGCAGGGGCUGACGCAGGAGCUCUCAAGGUCUCAGGCCGAUGCUAAGCAGGCGCAUGCCCUUAAGGGCGAGAUCGAUGUUCUAAGGCAGGAGCUCAUGCGUGUCAGGUCACACCGACUUCGUUUAUAUCGUCUCCUUCUCGUCAUUGACUUGUCUACUUCUUAUUCCGGUUCACGUGUAAAAUUGACGGUAUUUCAUUUAUUUUUUUCAGGACCGCAUUGGAGUAUGAGAAGAAGGGGAAUGCAGAACUGGUCGACCAGAGGCAGGCAAUGGAGAAGAAUUUGGUUUCUAUGGCUCGCGAGCUUGAGAAGCUGCGUGCAGAACUAGCAAGUGGCGAACCUAGAAACUGGGGUGCAGGUGCCUUGUUAUAUUUCUAAACCUCGUUUCUGAUCUCCAACUUUUUUUUGUUUCGAUGACCGUGAUUAUUUUAAAGUCUAUGGGGUAAGGUUGAUUUUGAUUACAAUACUCUGCUUUAAAGUACACCGUGUUAUCCGCAAAUCCGUUCUGAGUCGUCUCUAUUACCGCAUCCAACGAGCUGAUAACAUUACUUAUUUUCACUUAAUGGACUUAUCUGAUGCAUAGAUUAUUCUAGUAGCUAAUAUCGUGUGUCACCGAGACCUGACAAUGUUAAUUGAUUUUCGAAGGUGGAGCUUACGGAGUAAAACUCAACAGUCCUGAAGGGGGCUUUCCUCCAUAUGGUGAUGGAUAUGGUCUUCACUCGGUAUGGCUCAAAAUUUUAGGGCGGUAGUAAUCGCUCAUGAGUCCGAAUGACAGUGACUAGGUGGCUUGCUCUUGUUUGAGGAUUUAAUUCAUUUAGUUUAUCUCUCAAUUACUUCUCAGGGUGCCGCAGAUAAAGGUCCUCUAUACGGCAUGGGCCAAGGCUCUUGGGGAGGAUACGAGAAGCCUCGCCUUCCUAGACGCUGAUGUGUGAUGAGAUUAUCGCUUGCAUCACAGUGAUCAUGCAUUUUCGAUAUUGGUGUCUCGACUACAUUGAAGGGUUAGAUGUUUAAGGCUCCUCAAGUGGUGCAACGUGCUAUAACAAAAUCAUAGGACUUACAGCAUCAGUUGCUUUUUCAUGAAUGAUGUUUCAUCUUUCUGUUUAAAUAUCCAGACUAGUUCCUUGAAAUUGUCAUUUUAUGGCAGUAUGGUUUAGGAUUGAGUUGAAUUACGAUCUGGAAAUUCACAGCAGCAGUUGUGACAUCCUUUUCAUGUCACAAGAUGCAGAUUGAUUCCUGAUGAUGAUGAGAUAAUUUGCCUUCCAUAUUCCAGAUGUCUGUGGUGGAAAUUUCUUACACUUUGUUCAUAUAUUAUUUUGUGCUAAGCUUAACAUAGGGUUUGUACUACGUAUUAUCACACCUCAUUUAUAAGAAACCAAUGCGUCCAGCAAGUGUGAGCUACUAAUGUUCCUUUGGCAUGGUUAGGGAUGCUCUACAUAAAUCGGAUCAUCCUGCAGGAUGUUUAAUAGCAUCGGAAUCGCAGGGAACAACAGGAGUGGUGACUUGGAUUAGAUUAGAUGUCAUAUACUUUAUAUUGCUACUACUAACAUACUUUCUUUCAUUACAGUGUCGUACACUGAUGAAGUGUUUGUGUAAUAAUACUCUGAUGAUGCACCAUGCUCUGGGAAUACAUGGGUGCAUUCUUAUCAGUUGUCAAUGUUCUGAUCAUGCUUUAGGUACUAUCUUGGAAGUUUGAGGGGAAGCGACACACCCACUGUAUUGUCAGUUCCAAUAUAAUGAAGAGGUGAGUUAUUUCACAGUGGCAAAAUCACUUGAAUUGUCAAGUGAUUUUAUUUUGGGCUUUUGUAACAAUGUGGAACAUGGUAUACAAUACGUUCAUUAGAAGUUGAACUUUAUACUUCAUUUAGGUGAAAGUGAGAUGCUUCGGGCCUCGUAUCCUUGGUGAUUUGAUUCCAAUCAACACCGAUCCGAGGACUAAAAACGGAUAUCAGUUUGGUUUCCAUAACUUUGUAGUUUUGUUCUGUACCAUAGAUGGUUUCAACCAGAUAACUUUGUCGGACGUUGUUGCGUCUUUUUCCUGGGAGAGAGCUCUUUUCUAGUUAUAUGGUAGUGGAUCCUUCUCAGUAUUAGAUGAUUGUAUGGAAAAUGGGUCAGAUGCUUCUUUGCUUUGGAUGUGGAAAGCAUUUGAAUAUGAUGAUAAAUAUUUUUUGCUGCUACCCGCCACAUGUAUCCGAAGUUGAAGGGAAUGGUGAUCCCCCUUUUGUAGUCCUUAUGAUUCAUGUAGAGACGAAUCUUCAUGAAGGUAAUUAUUUGGCGGAUGUUCUGGCUUGAUAUGGCCAUUUGGUUUUGAGUUGUGUUCCAUAUCGCGUUAUUUCAUCAGGUGUCUUAGAUCUGAUUGUGUGUAUGAGAAAAAACUAUCAGACGGGUUUUGUCAGUGUAAUUUUUUCCUCUUUCAGAAACGUAUAAUGAAUUGCCCUUUUGAGUUGGGUUUCGUAGCGCAGCAGAUGAUAAUUAGCUGAUUCUUAUGGUAUCUUUUCACUUCUUCCAGCCUGGACUUAUGGCCAAAGUGUUACCAAAAGGGUAACUUGUUAUGGGUAUGCUUGAGUUGCUAUUUCCCUAGAUAUGGACUUCUGCUAUGUGUUAGAUCUCUGCUGUGAAAAUAGCUUUAGGUUGUACAAAUGCUGCUGUUGCAUUGACAGUGAGAGUAUAUUCCCUGGUUCUGUUGCUGACUGCUAUCUGAUUAGCUCCAUUUUCACACUAUGACUACUUCGGAAUAUCCAUUAGGUUGUUAACUUUUGUUUAAUGUAAUGGGUGGAUUAUGCUUACUUUGUGGUGAUGACUAAUCAUGCCUGCUCUUAUUAGCGGCUUGAGAAUGGAUAGGUCACCGCUCAUCGUGAGUUUUUCAUUUUUGUUUAGCUUAACACCAUUGCCUGUUGACUGUUUCGUAUAAAGGGGAUGGAGAUGUUGCAAGGACGGUGAAGCAUGCCUCCUCUUAUAAGCGAUAUUACUAUUCUUACUUUCCUACAAUAAAAUUGUUUUGACCUCUGGGAUAUUAUACUGUUUCUGUGUUUUCUUUAGGUUCAGGGAAACUUAUUAGUUUGCCUGUAUUGUUACUAUAGUUUCAGUUGAGCUUGAUCUCUCCCGGGUAUCAGUAAAAAUAGAAUUUUUGGAUCCUUUGUGACGUGAUGGAAAAGAAAAUGAUGGACCUGUCUAUUUAUUGGCUGCUUGAUGCCGUCAUUUAACACUCUAGCUGAGGCAUACCAUGCUGACACCUGGUGGUUGGCAUGCUUUAAACGUCCACGUGCCCUUCCCGUGGUCACUGAAAGCCUUUGAGCUUUGCCUAGGAGUGUCCUUUUCUGUACGUCCCAAUAAUCUUUGUCAUUUGUUUGACCGUUUUGUUCCAUAACUCCAUCACCUAUACGAAAACAAUUAUCCUGCACGAGUGACGACGAGUUGGUGUAUCAGAAGAUGAUGGAGAGGCUACAUGCAAGAAGGAUUGAUCACUUGUAGCGAGAAUAACAGAGGCAAGUGACUUUCCGUUUCUGUCGUAAAGGUUCCUGUUUGAUGAGGCAUUCAUUGUGAAGUGCGUGGGUUUUACAUACAAUGUAUUUAAAUAUUUCUUUUUUUUACUGCUUACGGGCUCAUCAUCUUUAGACAUUGAGUCAUAGUGAGGCAACUGUUUUUCGUCAACUUUGCAGUUCGUCCUUCUGGUUGUCUGGAUCGUUUGGAGUCGCGAGUAUACCAGUUUUCCUAUUUAUAGGAUUCUUGCAAUGUGCAUCUUAUCUUAGAGCAAUCAAGGAAAUAUCACAUAAUUGAGGUCAAAAUUGUUGUUAAGGACAUUUCUUAUUUUUGUCACUUUGAUGAAAAAGUUGGAUCCUGGUUGAUGUGACGGUUGAUGAUUUGAAACGGGCAAGAUGCGUGGAAACUAGGUGUAGUAUUAAUGGCAAUCUUUACGGCUGGAUUAAAAGGAUGUAGGUAUGAGUCGUGGACAUAUCUUGGACACUUUUUGGAGAAUAUUGUCUGCCAAAUGGAGAUGGAUGGUAAUGAAGUGAUAUAGGGCUAGGCACAUAUUUUUAUUCUAGAUUUCUACUUUCAGUGAUGACAGGUGAAUUUUUCUGCAUGAAACAUGAGUUCUGCCAGCUAUCAUCCUGAAGGAACUCUAUAUCCCUUUGUCUGUAGGAGGAUACACUACAUAUAGAUAGUGAGACAGGGGAUCAGGAUAACUGCCAUUUAUCAAGGAGAUUUUGAAUUGUUUGUCAACAUUUUCUUAUCAUCGCCUCUCUAAAUGUUGCGGGGAAUACUAUGGAGGAAACGAGAAAUUAUUUCCUUUUUUUUCAUUUUGUGUGAUUGGAUAGCCGAGACAUUUGUAAUUUGAUCGGCUGAAUAGUGGGAAAAUAUCCCUUAUUCUUUAUAUCAUUGACUGGUGAAGUGCGUUGUUACUCGUGUUGCUUCAUUUUAGAUGUCGGUGCUUAUAAGUGAGAAGACAGUCCAUCAUCCAUCCAGGGAUUAUUUGACUGCGUAGUAGUUUCAAUUACAACAUUUUCUCACGGCAUAAGGAUACUGGAUAUGAUGCGCUCUAUUUGCAUCACUUGUAGGAUUUUCUUGAAGGUUCUAUCUUGCAGCAGGUUGAUCUGUAUUGAAGCUGGGGACUGGGGUUUAUUAGUCUUGGGGGGAUGACUAAGGUUUUUUUCUAGGAAAUGACUUACAUUGGACGAUUUUAAUUUUUUUGGUUGAAAGGAGGAAGUGGUUCAUACAAUUAGUGAAGCUCGGGAGUUUGUUAGUAGCAGUACCCACUUGUUUUCUAAGUUUUCUGGACGUACAUUUAGGACGGGGUUCCAAUGACCUAUAGGGACAAUAAUGCAUCCGAUAGUCUCUUUUCUCUAAGAAAUUCCGGUGGAUUAUAUUAUGAAGAGGUGUGUUCAUAUUAGAUAUAAUAAAUGAUGUUGAAAUCAGGUGUGGAUUUCUGGAUAAAUAAGUCCUGCGAAAUUCUUCUGUUGGUAAUAAAUGAGGUCUCUGUAGUUCCUGUGGAUGAUCCUCGUGCACUGGCAUCUCUCCUGCGUGAAUGACGUGGUUUAGUGCUUUCCCCUAGAAAUCCUGUGGUCAGUCAUAUUUUAUAUAAAUGAGAAGGUGCGCAUUCGUUUCUUGAACGUUUUUGACAACCAAUCAUUAAUCCAAGAGCGCAUUUCUCUUUGAACCAACCUCACAUUUGUUGUUGAUUUUUACAUAUCUGUAAUCCUUCAUCGAUAAUAUUCUAGAAUUUUUAUUUUUUCUGAGGUUUACUAACUAACAUCUUUUUGUACUGUCAUUCGCUUCUUGUAAAUCUACAAAACCUAUUCAGAGGUUACUCUUUCUUACCGUAGAUGUAUUAAUAAUCCUCUGUUAUGAUAUCUAAAUUGUCCAUUUUCAUUUUCUGUGGAGUAUUAAUCACCCUUGUCUAUAAGUUAGUCAUAAGAUUAAUUUAUUUAAUACCCCUGCAUUAGCAAAACUUUGACCAUGCUCUUUAUCCUUGUUCAAUGUUGUUCAAGUGCUUUAUUCUCCUGUUGUGCUCCUCUUACCCAAUAAUCGUUUGUGAUGAAUAUACGAUUUGGUAUCAUUUAUAUAUGCUAUGAACAUUAUUCCUAUGCUUCCUCUUUUGUCUCAAAUGCCUUGAACUAAUACAUAAACUGCUCAAGAUCAUUAUCAUUUCCGAAGUUAGAAUCUUCAUGACCUAGUAAAUUCUGUAAAAUACCAUAAGCAUUUUGAAAUGUUGAGGACCAUUAUUUUUCUUUAAUGAAAUUUUAGUCUUGCUUCUAAGAUUUUUCUUUGCGCUACAUUUUUUUCUUUCACUAGCGUCCCCAUGUCUGCUCUCAUAGGGUUUUAUGUUUCCAUCUCAUCUGUCUUUGCAUUCAUCGGUCGACAUUCUGUUAUGUACUUGAGACUUUUUUUAUCUGCCCUUUCAAAACCCACAUUUACCGUUCAUCCUCUGUUGGUUCAGCCUCAUUUCGCUACUUUUUCUCUACAAACCAUAUAAAUUUCUACAGAUCACUCGUUUAUAUUUGUUGAGGGGAAAGUCUAGUUGGCUCCUGUUUCAAUCCGUUUGUAAUCGAAGGUGUUCAAAUGAUCAUUUCGUUCUUGAAGAACGUAUUCGUUGCUGGAAACUAUGUACCAGCUGGGUAUCGAGAAUCAUUUUUCCAGUGUCAUUCUUCAUCGUUUGUCUCCGUUUUUGUUUUAAAAACAUAUUUAGCAUACUCUACUUCUCAUAAACACCAGUUUUUGUUUCAAACUGGGAGAUCACAAAUUCCUCGACUAGCUGUCGAUCUUCUAAUCUUUUUUUUCCUCUGUUCCUUAACAGUUUCCAUGUUUCGUGCCUCAUUGUUGUUCUGUUCACGUAAAAUGCUCUUGGUCCCUGUAAAAUUAUAUUUUUUACAGAGUCAAACUUAGACUUCUUCUAAUGCUCUGCCGCAGUAAAUCAGCUUAUCUUCUCUCUCUCUCUCUCUCUCUCUCGUCCAUUGACAGUUUCCAUAUUUUGCAGAGUGGAGGCCCCAGACAUGGGACGCACAGAAGAAUCACUUGAGAUCAUAAAACCUGCCGUUUUCACCCGGUCUGGAAACCCGCGCGAGCCAUCAUCUCACCCUUCUGGGGGGGGGUGCUGGCUCCCGCCGCCAAACUCUGGAAAUCAUUAAUAACCGGUCGUAUACCAUCUUUCAACUAUACUUGGAUUUCUAUUAUUGAGCCUUAUUUCAGACAGGUGGGCUUCGUAUUUCCUUCCUCGGCUCUGUCGGUUCGCACCUUCUUUUGGGAUUCGCUAACAGUCGUUGAGACUUUCCAUGAUUUACUCCUUUUGGAGCUCGCCCUCCGAGGAUGGCAUCUAAUCCGCCUGAUCCUUGUUCUUGCCGCAGAUUCCAACCGGCGGAUUCUUUCUGCAUCUGAUUCUGGUGCCUCCCUUUUGCCGAGGUUGGCGGAACACGCUGCCCGCUGUUUCACGAAGCAUGGCCCGUGCGGAGCAACGGCGACCUGUGUGGCUCGCCUUCCGCCGGCGGCACGCGGUCGCCGGAGUGAGGCGGCGGCGGCGAUGCGGCGAGUAUGGGUAAAUUUUCUGAGUGAAACCCAGAAAAACCCUGUCUUUUGCCCAGAAAAUAAUAUUCCGGGAAAGCUGCAGGACUCGACGGGAGCCUUUUCCGAGCGCUCGGCUUUAUCAACCGGAGAUGGGAAGGGUUCCAGCCUUCCAAAAGGGGGCCCCAUCGAGCAGGCUGCCGAGAUGCCGCACUUUCCGGUACUAGAAAUUGCUGCUCAGGCUACUUACAAGGGCGGUGCAGAGUCACACACUCUCUGACAGGAUGUCGGCCCUGAUGAGGCUGCGGCGCCAGGCUGGGGAAGACGAUGUACGGAUGAGCUCUGAGAACGCGAUGAGCAACGGCUCUUCUGCUCUGAUCUCCCCCAUGAUCGAGGUCGCCCUUUGCCGUCACUUCCUUAUGAUGUAAUUGACUCGAGAUUCAUAUAUUCAUUAAGAUUUCGACGUCUCUUCAGAGGAAAUAUUACCCACUUCCUGAUCUCAUCUGUCUAAUUCUGCGGCAGCGUGAUCAUAACCGUGAUGCCCCGCUCGCUCGCUUUGAAUGAACCUACUGAUCUCGAUGAUCUUCCUUUGACCAGAGAGUACGAUCAGGGGGAUGAAAUACAAAAAAUAAAAAUAAAAAUAAAUCCUAACUUGAACCUCGAAGGGAGGAUGGCGAACCCCAGAUGAUCCGGGUGCCAAAUCUCUCAACUGCAUGAAGCAGAGUGUUUUGAUAAGAUGAGCCCGUCGGAGGAGGAUUCAGCGCCAUUUCUUCAGCAGAAGAGAGUAGGCGCUAGCCCUGGCAGAGAGAACCCAAGACGUGGGGAUGUACAGACGCAAACGAAGGGGAAGAUCUGAGAACGAGAUGUUGAAUCCACGACCUCUAGAGAUUCUGCAACUCUCAGCACCUGUUCAUGUUCAGUUCAUCCUCUACCGACAAAGAGAAGACGCUAAUGGAGGGAGGGGCCGGCCAGAAUCCCGACGGAGGGAUGAAGCCCUUCCCUGGUUAAUCAAUCAGGAGCAUGCCGAGGGGAGCCGUGCUCUAAGGUCAAUCAAUCAUCGCCUGUUGGGAAAAGCGUCAGCAUCUUCCUCCCUCCUCCUGAAGCGGCCCCGGAAUCGGAGCCCUCUGCGUAUGACGGCCCCCGAGGAGAAGGCGCGAUCGGAGCUCCGCCGGGAGGGACCAUCAUCUGGGGGACUCCAGGCGGCUGCGGCGGCCGCGAGAGGUACCCGUGCUCGAAGCCUCCGCCGCGGGGAGAACCCAGGUGGCCCAUGUGCCUCUGAUGGAAGUACUGCUGCUGCUGCUGUUGCUGCUGCUGGUGCGCGGCGGCGGCGGCGGCGGCGACGGCGGCCAUCUGCUGGUGGUGCUGCAGGGCUGAAACGGGCACAAACGGCAUGAGCUGGUGGUCGGGGGCACAGACUCCUCCCCCCGGCACCAUCACGUUGGCGGGCGGAGCGCGGCUGAGGAAGUGGCGCGGCACGGGGCCGCUGGCGAAGAGGCGGUCUGUGGCGGCGUCGACGGCUGAGACGGGGCCGCCAGCCCCGGCGCCGCCGCCGGGGGAUGAGAGGCCCUGCACCCGCUUGAGGUAGAGUCGGUACUUCUGGAGGUGGCUGGCGACGUUCUCCCUGGUGAGGCCCUCCACGUUCAUCAGCUGCAUUAUGGUCUUGGGGACGGCGUUCUUGAUCCCCAGAUGAGCGACGGCGUCGACGAACCGCUUGUGCAGCUGCGGCGUCCACACCAGCCGCGGCCUCUUCAGCGUGCGGGCCGGCUCCUCCCCGGGGUUCAUGCUGCCGGCCCCGGCGCCGCCACCGCCGCCCAGCUCCUGCGGGUCGAAGUCCGGCGGCGGCUGGUGAACGGAGGGAUGCAGGGAUUGAGUCUCCUGGUGAAGGUGAAGGGCGGACAGGAGGUGGGGAGAAGUCGACGGCUGCUGCGGGUGGAGAUGGGAGGCCUGGUUAGGGUUGUCGGCGUGGGCCGUGGGGCUGGAGGGGCUGGUGGGGGUGGUGGAGAUGUCGAAUGCCUGGGCGAGGUCCGGCGUAAUUAGGGAUUGAGAGAUCGGCAUGAGCUCCUCCGGGGUGGGGAGCUCCUCCUCCCAUCGGGCAAACCAGUUGGACUCCUCCUCCCUCAUUCCCCACCCUCGGCCCUCUCUCCCUCCCUCCCUCUCCCUCGAUCGGCCCUGCUCCUUCCUCCACAGCUCCAAGAAACGACAGCAACUACUGGACGCUGCUCCCUCUGUGCAGCAAGCCGGUGGAACAAGGGCUAGCACCGGAAGAACAAGAACAAGAACAAGAACAAGAACAAGAAGAACAAGAACAAGAACAAGCGAAGGUGAGCUUCAGCAGGACGAUGGUGGAAGCUGCCGCAGUAGGCAUCUGGGUUUUUCCUUUUGCCGGAGGCGGAGAGGGGUUCGAGGUGGAUCCCCUUCUUUCGUCCCUUCUCUCUCUAUCUUUUUCUCUCCUGCCUCCCCCCUCCCUCUUCCCCUGCCCCUCCUCUAUUCCUCUCCUCUCCCACGCGCGCACCUGCACCAAGCGUGGUCAUGCGAUUCCCAUUAGCGGAUCAAUAAAGAACUCCAGCAAAAAUCUGCCCUUUAAGAGGGCUCGCUGCUCCCCCCCCCCUAAGACUUCCAGAGCUAGAGAGAGAAAGGGAGAGAACUCCGCCCCCCCCCCACCCCAUCGUCCUCCUCACAGCGGGCCUCCCCGCUGUUGGGAAGCCGGUGGACUUUUCCGAGGCAGAUCGCAGUUCACUGAUCUGCUCCGCGUCGGGUGGGCGUAAUUACAGAUUCGGACUCCCCCCCACCUCCUCCCCGCCGUCCUCCGCCGCCUCGUGGCCGCCGUGAGAUCUCCCCGGCCCCCUCGCCGGGCAGUUUUUUGUCGUCUACCCUGCGGACAACCGGCUCCGGAGGGGACCGGUGAUGACGACGCAGCGGAUGAACUGCGGACGACGGAGCUGGUCAAUGAUUGGCUCCCCCCCAAGCCGUCCGAUCCGCCACCGACGGCCGCGAUGCCCCGCCGGCCCGGGUCAUGAUACCUAUCGAUAAACUUAAUCGGUCCGCGGGGGAUAAUUAAUGGGGGGGAUCCGGAUUAGGACGCGAGAUCGUGCUGCGGCCGCGCCGAACGCCGCCACCAAUUUUCGCGUAAUAAUCACUCGUUAAAAUAAUCCUCCCUGCCACGUGUCCGGAUUCCGACAGCUUGCAGCGGAUGGAUGGGUACGACCACUUCCUUGCUUCUUGAGGAAUCCAACUCUGAAUCACAUCCGCUUUCUCCCCCUCCAACGGACGGACGCACAGAAACAGAGAUAAAGAGAGAGAAAGGAACAGAGAGAGAGAGAGGAGGGUGGGGCACAUGCACCGUCAGGAGGAGAGUCCCGCAAGCAAGCGCCUAGCAGGGCGAGAAGCUGGGGCUCUCUUUGGCCCCCCAGAGAGAGAUAGAGAUAGAGAGGGCAGAGAGAGAGAGCAGACAGAGAGAGAGNNNNNNNNNNNNNNNNNNNNGAGAGAGAGAGAGGGGAGAGAGAUUCUUUCUCUUGUCGCUGCGGACGCGAGUUGCAGAGUUCUCCCUCGCCGUAAGAAGCCAUGAACAGGGGGGACCUCCUUAAUUACUCAUCUCUCUCUCUCUCUCUAGAUCUCCGUCGGCAUAUCUCCCGUCAAGCAUGUCUCUCUCUCUCUCUCUCUCUCUAGAUCUCCGUCGGCAUAUCUCCCGUCAAGCAUGUCUCUCUCUCUCUCUCUCUCGUGGGAGUCCAUAAAGACAACGUGACGCAACACUGAGCAAUAACUGCGGUGGGGUGAGCGGUCAGAUUCGCGCUCCUGCGCGCCGCCCUGGACGGCCCGACUGGGUCGACGGUGACGUCACAUCCCCCUUCUGCUGCUGUCGUAGAGAAGUCAACAUACGCAGCAACCAGUUUUAAGCCGGAUUUCGGACGAGGAAAUUGUAAUCCAGGAGGAUGCCACGUCAUCUUGUCUCGUGCACCUCGUUUGGGCCCAAUUGGGCCAUCUUUCGAUAUAUUGGGCCCCAAACGGUCCCGUCGGUGGUGGAUCAUCCGAUGCGCCAUCAUGAUGCCACCCGUAGGUCAACGCUCUUCUACCUAUCUAUAUACCUGUCGCCUCUGUAGCUGCCCCACGCGGAGCUGCCCAGCGUUCGGGAUCGGUGUACCCCGCCGACGGUGACGCGCACGUCGGCUCGCAGCUAUUCUGUCUGACCGAUCGUUUGUCUGGCGCCGCCGCUGCCGCCAUAAGGGAUGCCUUCCAGCGGCUUCUUCGCCGCCGUCCUUCUCGGGGGAGUUGUAAAUUCCGGCAUCUCUCCCUCUACUCAGAGACGCGGCUAGCUCCGGCGGGGAAGACAUGGAGGUCCGUUUGCUGAGCUCCACAGCCGUCGACGGCGGCGGGUCCCCCGGUGGGCCUUCCGCCACCCCGCUCACCGUCUUCGACAAGGUCGCCGCCGACAUGCACGUAGCCGUGCUCUUCGCCUUCGCCGCCCCUACGGCGACGAACGCUCAGAUCAAGGACGGCCUUGCGAAGACGCUCGCGCACUUCUACACCUUCGCCGGCCGGCUGGGAACCGACGAGCUCCAUCGCCCGUGUAUCCUCGCCGGCGGCGCCGGCGACGGGGCUCUGCUGGUGGAGGCGGCGGUGGAGUCGGAGCUGGCGGAGCAUAUCCCGCUGAAGCCCUCGCCAGACCUUCAGAAGUUGCACCCUCCGACGGAGGGAGCCGUCCACGCGCUGCAGAUCCAGCUGAACCGCUUUCGCUGCGGCGGGCUGGUGAUCGGAGUGACGUGCCACCACCGGGUCGCCGACGGGCAGUCCAUGAGCACCUUCUACGCCGCUUGGGGACGAGCAGUGAGGGGACUCACCGUCCACCCUCUCCCUCUUUACGACUGCCGGCGGUGGGUGCAACCUCGCUGCCCUCCCAGAAGCGAGUUCAUACCUCCGGGAGAGGCCCAUGAUGACGGUCCUCAUCCGCCGCCGGCGGCCGGGGACGAGGACGUCCACAACGUGUCCCUCCGCUACUCAAGCGAGUUCAUAGCGAAGGCGCUGAAAGCCCAGACGGUGGAGAAGUACACCACCUUCGAGAUCCUGCUAGCUCACCUGUGGAGGAAGAUAACCAUGGCCAGGGGGCUCAACGGGGAAGAGUUCACCCAAGUGAGGGUCGCCGUCGACGGCAGGCGGCGGUUGAACCCGCCGGUGCCGGCGGAGUUCACUGGGAACAUGGUCCUCAACGCUUACCCCCGGGCCAGAGCGAAGGAACUGUUGGAGGGGGGCCUCGAUGGGGCGGCGGCGGUGAUCCGCGCCGCCAUUCGCCGGAUGGGGGAGGAGUACUUCCGUUCCUUCGUGGACUUCUGGGAGAUUCACGAGCAACUCAACGACGAGAAGGAGAUGGCGCUGUACCCAGAUCUGGAGGUCAACAGCUGGCUAGGGUUCCGCUUCAGUGACAUGGAGUUCGGGGGCGGCGACGGCGGCGUGUGCGCCUUCGCGCCAUCCUGGAUUCCCGCAGAAGGCGUCCUCGUAUUCAUCCCCCCCAGGGAGGGAGACGGAGGAGGGGUUGACGUCGUCGUCACCCUGUUCGAAUCCCACGCAAAUCUACUGCAACAGAUAUCCCAUUCCGUGGACUAAGGGCCCUAUUUGACCAUAAAUAGUAAAUAAGUUUCGACGUCAGGUCAAUGCCGUCGAUCAUGGCUUGUGCAUAGUGAUUUGUUUCCAAAAACCAUGAGGAAUAAAUGCAUUCAAAUUGAUUGGAAAGAGUUAUCCGUCCAAUGAAAUUAAUGAACCCAACACACAUAAUGAGCAGAUCAGCGCUCUGCUCUCUCUCUCUCUCUCUCUCUCUCUCUCUCUCUCUAUCUCUCAGAUUGCUGGCGACGACGAUGAUGAUGAGGGCACUGCUUCGAGUAGCUUCAUCGCAGGGGGGUGGAGAGCCACGGCGCCGAGCCGAGGGCUCGAGUAUUUCUUGUACACGGCCUUCAGCUUGUUCUCCGGCGCCGACGAAUGGAGCUCCACCAGCAGCCGCGCGCAUUCUCGGAGCUCUGCCUCGGAGAAGCCGGCGUGCCUCCUGAGUGUCUCGCUCCAGAGCGGGGUCGCUUUGUUGAGGGUGCACCGAGCUGCGUAAACCGCGGCGGCGGCCACCAUCGACGGGCAGUAGGGGAUCGUCGACGAGUACUGCACCAACCCCAGCUCGGCGAAGAAGAAGGUCAAGUUCUCCAUCUGCGUCCAGAGUGAGGAAACAGCUCAUCCGAUUAGUACGGAUUCAUUCAGCUGGAAGAAGAAAACAGACGGAGAGGAUCCCACCUCCGGAACCUCCGAGAGGGCCGCUGCCUUGAGGAAGCGCACGAGAAACACGUAUGGAGUGGGAACAGUUAGAUUCCACUCCAGCUUGUCGAGAAUCGCCUUCUCCUUGCCCAGAAUCUGCUCUCUUCCAUACGCAUUAUCCGAUAUGCAGAUGAAAUCGUUGAUCUGAUAAGAAGAAACAUGUCAGGCGCCGAGAUUCUUCAACCAAUAAUUCCUCUUAUGGAGGGAAAAAAUAGGGAUUUGAAUACCUCUGGAGCCCAAAUCUCCUCGUAUUUGCAGGCGAUGAGCAUGGCGGUGAUGCCCACAAGCUGCAGGUCCCUCCGGAGGACCGACUCCAGCGAGAGGUACCGAUCGAUGAUGUAGACAGUCAGGUAGAGGGUCUCUGGCAUGAGUUCGAACUUGUAGUGGACUUCGAUCAGCCAGUCGACGAGGAUUGCCCUCAUCUUCGCGUUUAUCUCGAUCUGAGAGCCCAUGUAGUCGCGAGGUCGGAAGGAGCUCUGCAACAACAAGACUAGGUAAAUCAAAUAAACUGAAAAUGAUGACGACGACGACGACGGAGGGGACGGGGGAGGAAAUCUGAACACACCUCGGAGAGCUUAUAGAAUUUGUAGAUGUCCUCCACAUAAUCCACCACCGCCAGCUGAUCGCCGACGUCGACGGAAUCAAUGUCAGGAACAGUCUCUGCGGGCUUGAGGGAAAUCCCACACGCAACCUGAGAAGGAAGACGAAUUAGGAGAACUCGAUGAAUCAGAGCUACUGGUCGGACGCUGGUGGAGACCAAGCAACGAGCUUCACCUUGCUCCGUGCAGAGAGCACCGACGAGAAGGUGUGCACCUUCUUCCUCGAGGACCUUUUCUUCCCCAAAGAAGACUCCGCUGCAGUGACUGGUGGGACGAUCUCGACGACGGCCGUCUCGGCCGGCGCCUUCUCAAUCUUCGGCUUCGCGGCGGCGUUCACUUUGGACUGCUUCGGGGGGGCCUUCGUUCCUCCCCCUGCGUCCAAUUUUCCAGGCUUCUGCGUAUUCUGCUGUCAUGGGUCGGAGAUCAUCAGUAAUGGAAGGCGUCAAGAUGGAGACGACGAUGGAAGGAAAGAAGACGAUGCCGGCGGUAACCUUGGCAGCAGCGGCGGCUUCGGCGGCCGCUUGUGCAUUCUUGAGAAGUAGGGCUCCGAAGCUCCUCGUCACGGGGCGGGAGAUCUGGGGCUGCGGCUUCCUGCUCGUGGACGAAGAACAGAUAUUGUUAGAUUGGGAAACCCUGAAACAAAACCAGUCUGGUGGAAGAUGGAGACGAGAGAGGGAUCAUACCCUUCCUCCGGACGACCUUUGGCGCCGUUGACCAGAUUCCCAAUGUCCCCAAGAGCUCGUCGGUUGGCCCCCGCGGGAGCUUUCUGCUGCUUCCCAGUGGGGACUCCUGCAACCCCUGCAGCCAUUAAUCGUGAGGGACGUGAGAACCAGAAAAUGGAUCGUCAGAAGUCAACGAUGAUACAUCGGCAAGAAGCCUUCGCCCGGAACGAGCCCUUCCAUAAGAAGAAGAAUCCAAGAAAUUAUUCAAAACAAGAACCCUAGGAACGGAGACGACACAUGGAAACGGUUCUUCGUCGGCGACGAGCCAAAUCUGAGAAAAAGAGUGGAUCCAAACCAAACUCUUCAGUUCGUUCAAACCCGCCUGCCUUUCGAUCAGAAGAAGUCAGCUGGAGCAUUACGACUGCGUCACUGAAAGGGAAUCGUUAAAUCGAGGCGAGUCGGAGCGGAAUCGAUGGCCGGAGAGUUACUCGCGGCAUAAACCCAAUAUUAUGAAUGAAUCCAUGGAUCCGCCGCGCAAGAACAUUUGGCGGAUUAAAAAAAACAAAAAAAAAAGAUCCAAGAGUGACAGUGAGGAACGAUCGAAGGGGAAACGUUUUCUGUCUAUCGAUGAGACUUAAAAGAUCCGCAGAACAAGCCGAAAUUGCCAUAGCAAUACCCCUCUGCUGCUCCGAGACCGGGACCCGAUGCCUCGUCGCCAUCUCUUUUCCUCUUCCUCCUCCUCCUCUUCCUCCUCCUCUGCAGAACCCUACGGGCGACGAGGGCCUCCGACCGACCCUUUCGCUCCUGUUCUCUCUCCGUGCUACCGACGAGCGACGCUGCUAAAUAUGGGGGGAUUGGGUUCAGGUUCCCGGAAGAAGAAGGGGGAUAUUGUGGGAAGAGGAACUGCGCCUCCUCUUUUCGGCACGGUGGUGUCUCCAACGGUCGGCUUGUUUUCAAAUCUCAACGGUCCGAUCUCAUCGAAUCCAACGGCUACACGAACGGAAUCGGAAUUCAUAGCCGUUGGCCCCUCCCUACGUCAGAGGCUUCCUCUCUCCUAACCCCACCACCCCCCCCCCCCCCCCCGAUUCCUGACUCGUCGACUCGGGUGGUCCUCAAAUCGGCCGGGGCCUGAUGUGGAAGUACUCCCCCUUAAAUUCCAUCCGACACCGGCCACUAUUUGUUUACUAUUUUUGGAUGUUUUUAUAAAGAACCCUAGUAAUUUUAUUUAUACAUAUUUACCCUAAUAGAUCUCCAAAUAAAUGAGGAGAGGCUUCCAGGAGAGAGGACCGAAGAGGAUCCGAUAGAGAGCGCUAAUGGUAUCAACCGGGCCCAAAUGACCGAGGCCCAAAGAACACGCAAUAUUAUCAAAAUAUUAGGAUGAAUUGGGCCAAAUAUUUUCCAAAUAUGUGGUGACAGUGAAAAAUGGAAACUAAGAUCAGGAAUGGCUGCCAACCCCAUCCCGGCCGUGGGCGGCGUUGACCCUUCACAGAUAUUGGCGGCGCCGCCAAGUUAGAUUGACUAGCGGCGGAGAUUUGUCCGAUGCUGGCUGCGGGACCCCUGCUUGACGAAAGGCUGUCUGCGGCUGAGCCCUCGCUUCGGUAGAUCAUGCAGCUCCAUGACCUGAAUUGUCCGCUGCUUCUUCGCUGCAUCGGGGUAGAGCAGAACCGACGUCAUCAUCCUCGCCCACAGGAUGGGGAAGUUAGUCAAACCGCAUCACACGUGCGAUUCGAGGAGUGGGUGAAGUCAACGUCACCAUUCUCGGCUUGCUGGUACCCUUCAUGGAGCUUCCUCUUGGCGGCUUCAAGCUUGGCGCAAACUGGGGUCUCCUCGCGAAGCUUCAACCGGGGAGGACCAGAGAAACGCAUCAGGUGGAGGAUUUCCUUCACACUGCGGAUCGAUUGAAGCGAAAUUGGGAAGAUCCGUCGUCACUGUUACUCACAUUGCGGGAGGAGCUAGAAGAUGCCUUCUUUCCUGUUGUGGGAGGUCCCUGCCUCUUCUGGGAGCUACCAGCAUCGUUGACCUUGGCCUCGCAUGCCCUCUGAGGUCUUCCAGGCCCGGAGGCAAGACUGGAGCUCGAUCGUUUCCUCUGCGUAAUGGGGGCCUCCGCUUGCGGCCUGCACCGCCUGGCGAGGGGUUCUUGCGGGCUCUCCUCCUGCUUGCUGGACGACGGCUGAUGCUUCCUCGUCGAUCGCUUCUGAUGCUGCAUGGAUGGCUUCUUCGUCCGGCCCUCUGCGCGCCUGCCUGGUUCAUCGUCGUUCUGGGCACCUGAAUGAAGAUUCACGGGAGAAAUAAUCACUGGGUGUGUUCAUCGAGGAUCUUGGAGGAAGAAGAUGAAGGGACGCGAGCGAGCUCGAAGAUGAGGAGCCCACUUACAUCCGUCGUCGCUCAUUCCAUCGAAGAACUUUACCGCGCAGCAAGAUCGCCGAGGGGGAAGACAGGAUGAAGAACACACAGUCAGUUUCGCUCUUCAAUUCUUACCUCAGAGAUGAGAAGAUUGACAAAAAUGGCAGCCUAAGCAAGCUUUCGACCUUCGCCAUUUACGAAUGCUCAGACUUGCAGCAUAGCCAACGAAAAUAUUCCAUGUCUCUUAAAAAAGAAAGGGGUGAAGGCCCGGCUGUGGUUCGGUGGUUCACCUGCGAGAGCUCCAUGGCGCCUGGAGUGGCGAACAGGGCGCCCUCAUCCAUGGGAGGGGAAGGGAGCCCUCCUUCCUCUCCCUCGUCUUCCACAACGGAAGGAGCUUUAGACUCCGGGGUGCCUUCUGCCGUUCGAAACGAAGGGUGAGAACAGCUGCCGCCCAGCUAUAAACAAAAAAGCCCAAGAGCGGCAGGAGAAUCACCCGUGAGAGCAGCAGUAGCAUUCAUCCAUUCAUCCACCAGAAUCUUCCAGCCCCUGUGGAUCGAUCAGAGAUCCAUACACAAAAUAAAUAAUUUCACAUUGAUCUGUCGAUUAUAAUCGAAGGAAACAGAUAUCAACCACAUAUAUCUUGAUGCAGGCCAAGAACAGAGAAAGAAGCUCGAAAAAAAAACAGCCACGCUCAAGGAUCGUGGAGGAAGAAGAUGAUGAUUCAUGCAGAGAUGAUUAAAUCACUGCCCGAGAACACUGUCCAUCUCGACCAAUUCUUCGAAUACAAUAAAGAGCGUAUGCGUGAUUGAAACUCCAUGGCGAAAGCUGAGGAAGUCUAGUCUUGCUCCACAGAGACACCAUCAGAUACGUGAUAUGUUCGUAACCCAUAGACACGAAUGCAUAAACAGAAAGAAAACGAUGAUCUGCAUGUGCAGGCCCGGAAAUAUUUCUCUGUUACCAUGAUUAGAAAACAGAAACAUGUGCUGGUUGGUCUCCAAGAUAAGGUUUUCAAUGAGCAAGCUCAGGAGAAAUCGUAAUAAUAAGAGCAAUCGAUUCUGGCGAAUUUCUGCAUCAAGUUAAAUAGAUAAGCUGGCUAUGAUGGCAUUUAAUUUUCUCCGGGAGUGGGGGGACGGGGAAGAUGAACCAAAAAUCAGAUAAUUCUCCUGAGUUUCGUCGGUAAUCAUCACGCAGUCGCAACAGAGAAUACCGGCUGAUUUUCACUUCAUAAGUGAAGCUUAUUCUGUGAUUACCAGGGAAACUUACCCGAUAAGGGAGGAUACCAGCUGAGAAAUCUGUCUUGAGUUGUGUCUCCGGAGCCCAUUCAGAGCUUUCCCAAUCUCCGUCGCCUGAAUCGAUGAGCAGAGGAGAAGUCAAAUGAAUGUUGAAUGAGAGCAGUGGGAGCUGCAGGCUUACUGGGAAGCAUUUCACUUCCAGGAACGAAGAAAAUUCCAGCACAACCUUGAGAACUUCCACAGAAAGAGCCAUCAAUUGAAGCCUCCUGAGGGACUCAAACAGCCGAGAAUCAGACUGAAAGAAAUCACCACCAAGGGGAACGAAGUCAAAAUAUUGGAGAAUAUAUUUCCCUGUCGAGUCGUAGCUCGCAAGAACAGAUUUGGGGGCGUCAUAAUUUCAUCAAAGAGAUUGGCAAGGAACGCAUGCGACGAAAUCUGUGGAUCGAAGACGCAGAAUUCUACAAAUCCUGAUUCGAGGUGAGGAGGAAAAUGAAACCAGAAAGUUCAGCGGUAGACCUCGUAGUCCUUGUUGACGAUAAUCUCCUUGAUCCUCAGCACCUCUCCGAUGAUCUGGUUCUCCUCCUCGAUCUCUUCCGUUAUUGCCUCAGCCUCAUCGAAGCUGUAAUUGCUCGAGACCCACUUCAAAUCUUCAUCGUCCUGUCGUUCAUCGGUGCCGCAGUUGACCUUGCUCGCCUUCUCGAUGCAGCCAGCGGGGGGGACGCCGUUUCCUCCGCCGAACUCUUCCCCUUCCCCCUCGAAUGCCUGGUGCUGGAUUCGAUCGCACCCGAAGCACCUUGGCAACUGGCAAGAGAAGAGUCUCUCGGUGAUCUGAUCCCUCCGGUUGCGAAACUCCGUCGGAUAAUCCGAUGCGGCGAUGAGGAUCGCGUGCUCGAUCACGAUGAAGAUAUCGGAAUCGGCGCUGCGGAAGUGCUUCCUCCAGUAGUCCAGCUCUCCAAAAUCCGCCAUCAUGCUGGCGGAAUCAGGGAAGCUCAGCGUCCGAUUCACGCUCUAGAGGAACCAAAUCAGCAAGAGAAGCGAUACCAAAAGAACGAGAUGAUGAAGCGGGUCCGUUCAGAAGGGGAUCGAUCGGUCCGGGAUCCUCCGAAUUCGACCGCGCGGCGUGCCCAACCGAAUUGCGAGCCCCAAAUCAGGAACAACUGCUAGAUCAGAGUUUCAACAGUUAUGGCUUUAAAUUCCAGAUAAAUGCCACGACUUCGGACGAUGGAAUCCGUUCCUCCUCUUUAAUUUGUUUUUCUUUCCCUUUCUUCGUGUUCUAAAAUCCGAAGAAUCCGAACUGUCAGCCUUAGGGCCACCAGCAGGGGAAGAAGCUGUUAUUCAUUCAUCCGCCGGUAUCUCUUCCGGAAUCGAGGAGAAGAAGCGGAGAAGGUGAGAGCGGAAACGGGGUUGACAGACAGCGGGAGGAACUCAGAGCCGCGAGGUUACUUAUCCGCGGUCCCUCCAGAGACAGAAGGGGGCAAUUUUCCAGGAGGAGACCUCCCUGCCAACCGAGAUAGGUGAGAUUUAUCUCUCAUCCGAUUAUCCCCCCCAGGAUCAGGAUGCGGAAGAGAGAGAGGGAGAGAGAGAGAGGAGGAGAGAGAGAGAGAGAGAGAGAGAGAGAGAGGAGAGAGAGGANNNNNNNNNNNNNNNNNNNNNNNNNNNNNNNNNNNNNNNNNNNNNNNNNNNNNNNNNNNNNNNNNNNNNNNNNNNNNNNNNNNNNNNNNNNNNNNNNNNNNNNNNNNNNNNNNNNNNNNNNNNNNNNNNNNNNNNNNNNNNNNNNNNNNNNNNNNNNNNNNNNNNNNNNNNNNNNNNNNNNNNNNNNNNNNNNNNNNNNNNNNNNNNNNNNNNNNNNNNNNNNNNNNNNNNNNNNNNNNNNNNNNNNNNNNNNNNNNNNNNNNNNNNNNNNNNNNNNNNNNNNNNNNNNNNNNNNNNNNNNNNNNNNNNNNNNNNNNNNNAGAGAGGGAGAGAGAGGGAGAGAAGGCGGCUCCGAUCUUCUCCAACUGCCCCUACCGUCUUCUCAUGGUGAAGAAGAAGACGGAAAAGGUUGCGGCAGCGGCGUCUAAGAGAAUUCAUCUCUACUGCAAUAAUUUACCAGUAGAGAGAGAGAGAGAGGAGGGGGCGGCACGUGUGUAUCUUCUUUGUCACACAGCUCGAAUCCCUUAAGAAGAAGGCACGUGGCUUACACGUGCGUACUAUCGUGCCCCAAACCCUCUGGAACAUUCCGGAGAGCCGUGGAAGGGCGGGUCUUAAACCCUACACUCCGUUGGGAGUCCUGUUAUUCGUUCGUGCCGGCACUCUGUUGAGAGCGUCGCUCCCUCUGUGCGUGUCGUCCGUUUUAGUCCGCUGCUAUGGCCGCUCUGAAGCGACUGAUCCCCUCGUUGAACCGCGUGCUGGUGGAGAAGAUCGUGCCACCCGCAAAGACCAACACUGGUAUCCUGCUGCCGGAGAAGACCACCAAGGUAUCUUCAUCUCUAUCCAGCUCUCUUACGGCCAAGGGAGAUACGCCUUUGCGUUACGUAAGGUGAUGAGGAUAGUUGAGGCUUUUAACAUCGGCUUUGUCCUCUGGAUACUUUGUAUUUUGCUUGUGUAGCCGUCGUGUUCAGUUUCUCUCUGUGAAUGUAUGUGUGCCUUUUGUUCCUGCGUGUCUAGUAUUGCAUUCGUAAGCUUUUGCUCGUCAGCUGAUAUCAGUGUUUCAUAUUUUAGAGCACAUUUGCUUUCUACUAUUGAACCCUGGUUAAUCGACUUUAAUGUGGACUUUUUUUCCCCUAUUUUCCCGCUCCUUAACUGUUGCAAUUACGGCUGUCAUUUGUCCAGGAGAACGUCCAAUGUCAUCUUGGUCACUUUCUCUAUCUGUUUAAUACCAACGAUGGCAACAAUCCAAUGUCAUAACAUCUAGACGAUCUAAGGUCUUUAUCUGGUGAAUAGGUUGAUUAUUCGAUUGACAAGCGCGUUUUCCUUAGAGUGCUAAUGUCUCAAGAGACCACUAAAAACUUGGGCCUGAUCGACAUCAAAGAGAUAAACAUUAAGUUUUAGGUUAUGAAAUUAUUAGAACGCUCAACUCUUGGUGAAUUUUCUUCCAGUUGCGGUGGUUUAUAUGGGGUAUACGAUCGGUCAAAUGCAAUCUAUAUCAAGCAACUAAUGUUGUGUACAUUCACAUUUGCAAUCGAAGUGCGUCUGUCAACUUUCUAGAAUUGUGUCAUACACGGGACAUGCUGAACCAACUCUUUAAUCCAUUGGCAAAUAGAGUCUCAGAAAGGGGUUGCGUGCUGGCAAGAAACAUUUCGCUGUAAAGGCCCGAUGCAAAUGAUUUAAAAUUAUCGUUGUAUCUUGUUUACUUUCAAGCUUUGAAGUUUGAAAAACCAUUCUGGGUUGGCGAUGGGGAUGAUUAGAUGAGGUGAUGAACUUGCCCCUACUUGGUUUCUGCCAAAAUUUAUUGUGAGUUAUCUUCAAAUACUUGUUAAUUGCAAUCGAGAUGAUCGUACUUUGAUUCCGCUGAUCGAAACAUGACUUGAAUAAACUUCUAGAGGUCAGAAGUGUCCUUAUAUACAUUCGUUUUUGACAAGAUAUCGUCUUAUGGUAAUGGGAUGGUGCUUUUUAGUGCCUUGUGGACUAAGAUAGCGAAUCGAAAAACUGUUAGCAAAAGAUCCUUAAUUGUCAUAAAUUCUCCCCUGCUCGUUCCUAAGGUGGUGUCUCUGGUGGAUUGGAGUGGAUGCAUUUGGUACUGGUUUCGAGGAGUCACUGAUACUAUGAUUGCAUUGGAGAUGUGUUAGGGUGCUCAUUUGAAUUUAAAUUCCAAAUGGAAGUGGCGUUAAGAAGCGUAGUUUUUUUUUUCUAUUGAUGCUGGCAGCUACAAGGAUGACAGUCUAAAAACGAUUUAUACACAGUUGCCUUAUUUAAUUUGCAGAGUUGCAAUGUUUUUCUGGGAGACCAUGCCACGCUGCGCCUUUGACGCUAUUGUCUUUGCAGGUCUAAUGGUUUAUGGCAUCUGUAAGGUUUUCAGUAAUGAAAAACCUACAACCUUUAAGGAACUGGUCCACUGUGAAAGUGUUGUCUGAGGAGAAGGGAAUUUGAGCUUGGAUGGAAGAUGGUGGAAGAUGCCUAUGAUGCUAUUGUUAACUCUGUGAAGGCCACGAGAAUGUAAUAGGACCACCUAUCAGGAGGGUCUGAUGGAUGGGAUAUAGAGUGAUUACCGAUGGUUGGAGUAGUUGAAUAACAAGAUGGACGAUGUGGUGGUGGACUGAGGAUCUCGUUCUUGAGAUAUUGAGGGUGGAACAUUUGGGGGGAGUGAAAAAAUUUAGAUGUCCUUCCAUUGAUUGAAAUGAAGAACUAUGGACAAAACGGCAACCGGUGAUAAGGACAUUAUUUACUUGCAACACGUUUAGGAGAUAAAAAAUGUUCCUUGGGAGAUAAUAGAAGGGAUCUAUGACGACAGAUUUGUAAGUUUUGUCCCAAGUGUGUGGCGAGAUGAUAUUUUAAGGUGGCUUGGUGGAUAUGGUUAGGAUAUGCAGGAUCGUUGCCUAUGAAAUUUUCUUGUUUGUUCUCUUGUUUCUUGGUAGCGCAUGUCUUCAAUGUCUUAUCUUUUCCUCACCCCCAGCCCCCCGAUAUCUCAGGUGCUUGGUCGUUAUUUCCUUCUGAUUCCCCCCCCCCUACACUCCCGGGUUGCCCAAAUUUCAUAUGGUCAACUAAAUUCGUUUACUUUUGUCUGUCCGUAAUAGCUGAACUCUGGAAAAAUCGUAGCGGUGGGCCCUGGCGCUCGUGAUAGAAAUGGAAAUCUCAUCCCUGUGGCAUUCAAGGAAGGGGACCAUGUCCUUCUGCCCGAGUACGGGGGUACCGAAGUAAAACUUGGCGACAAAGAGUAUGUUUUCCACUACCUCAGAUUCAUACAUCUAUCUUCUUGCUCUUCCUCUAUUAAUUUAUUGGGUGGUGGCGUAGUACUUCCAAGAAAAACAUCGUCGGAAUAACUUCACUGGAUAAAUAAAUGUCUUUUAAAUUGGUAAAAAAAUCAUUUAUUAUUACAGAAGAGAGUUUCUUUUUGCUUUAGGAGAAGUAUAAAGAAAUCCCUAGAAAAAUAUCAUCCAAGUGAGUGCCAGAUUGCUGCAAAGAAUUACAAGCCAGAAGUAACCGGAUUCAUUUAUGUUCUAGGAGAAUUUGUUCUUCGUUUUUUUCUUGUUCAGUUGUUUUCUCUUUCUUUUGAUCCUCGGAGUCGGAAAUGAGAAAUUCCGAAGAUAUCAACAGAUGAAAAAUAAUGUUUUGUCUAGUUGAUCAAAGUCACGGGAUAAAUUUAUUUUUCUAUAAUUAACCAAAAUCACAUUGGCAAGGAUAGAGUUUGGCUUUUUUUUUAAAAAAAAAGUUGGGUUCUAGAGAAAACUUAUCAGCUGAGGGAAUACUUUCACUGGAUUAAAUAAACGUGUUGUGGUUGACCAAAAUCAUAUAUUACGGAAGUCAAGUUUUUUUCCCUAUAAAUAAAGUAAAUAAAUUCAUGACACAAAGGAUCACGUUAACCAAACGUAGCUUUAUGAUUUGAUAACCAUACUCUCUUACCUUUUGAUUUGACUAAGAUAAAAAUCUAAUUCAGCCAAUCUCUUUUUGGGGGUGGACUCUCUCAGGCUCCAUCUCUUCAGAGAAGACGACAUCCUGGGAACGCUUCACGAGUAGCGACGUCAGCACCGGAGAAGGUCAUUUUCCCCUGCAACCUGAGCGGGCUCUCUUGCCGGAGUUUGUUUACUUGCCUUGAAUUCUGUAGCUGAACAGUGCCGUCCUCUCUGUCCUCUCUCACUCGAGCCGUUGACGAGGUCGCCAUUGCUUGGCAGAACGCUCAAUCGUAGCUUCAUUUUUCCUCACAUGCUACUAUUUAAUGACCCCCCCCCCUUCCCUCCUUCUCCCAACAACACAGAGACACAUAGAGAGAGAGAGAGAGAGAGAGAGAGAGAGAGGAGGNNNNNNNNNNNNNNNNNNNNAGGAGAGAGAGAGAGAGAGAGAGAGAGAGAGCAAUACCAAAUAGCCUACUUUUUCCUGCUCGUUUUUUCCCAAUAAAGUAAACAAAAUAUAUUGUCAAUCAUUAUACGGCGUAAAAUAUUGACAAGUGAAGAUGCGUAGCCUAUCGGAAUUUUAUAAUCCGAGUCGUAUAAUACAAAUCGACUUCGUCCUCUGUUUAUAUUGAAUCAUUAAAAUUAACGAGGGGUUAGGCGUCUUCUUUCUUUCCUCAAAGACCUCGCCGCCUUCCCUCGAAAGCCCCUCUUUUAUCCCUCCUUUCCACCCUCUUUUUUCUCCUUCUCCUUCCCCUGGAGCUCUCUCUCUCUCUCUCUCUCUCUCAUCGAGGCUCGCUCAGGGAGUACCAGGAAGGAAGAAACGUGGAUCCGUUGGACACCCAUCUCCCCAUAUUUUCUGCUCAUGAACCCCCCCCCCCCUCUCUAAUUAUAUCCGAAGAAAAGCCGGAAAGGGCAGAUUUUGCAGAGCCCAGCGAAUGAUGCAAAGCGUCUUUUGACCGCCGGCGCCGGGCAGAGAGAGCGGCGGCGCCUGGCAUCUCGGAGGCCGUUGCUGGGACCCACCCAUUGGCCAGGCCCAAUCGUACCCCAUGGUUGCCGCAGAGCGUGCUCCCCCUUCUCAUCUUCAUCCUCGUCGUUUCAAAAUUUAUUCUUGUUUACGGGUCAUUCCCGGCGGUGGCAAUCAUACCGGGGGAGUCGCCGUCCUCGUCGCCGGCCGGCUUUUGAUGAUGGGAUGUCGGGGAUUUCGUGGAUCGUCUGAACCCGACAAUCCGCAUGCGCGUCUCCCUCCGAUCGAAACGAGGAAGAAUCGGAGCGGGCGGCGAUGCUCCGCCUGCACUGAUCGCCCCCCGUUGAUCAGUGGAGACGAAACUGGUACGAGUGAGCAUUUGCGAGCAGUUUGGCAUGUAGCCUGUUCCUGGGUAGGCGGCGGCGGUCGGAGCUCGCCGAAGGAGAUGGGAGCCUCCGGCUGAGCAGACGGCGGGUUCCCCGCUCUCUCUCUCUCUCUGUCUCCGUGCCUCCUCUUUCCGAAACAUCUCAGGGAAGGCGCUGCUUUAUACUCUGCACAGAGGGGCGUAACUAAUAUAAUAUCACCUCCGCCAUAACACCACCGCACCCUCCCUCUCUCUCUAUCUCUGCCCACUAGCUCUCUCCUUCUUCCUUCUCUCUCUCUCUCUCUCUAUCUCUGCACACUAUCUCUUUCCUCUGCUUUGUCCGCUGCCACUGCUGUUCCCUUGUCAUUCAGCCGUCGUAUUUAUGGUAAUGUGCUCGAUUUCUCCGGCAGUCAUCUUCGAGCGCCGAAUGGUUUCCACGGCCUUCCCUCUCUCUUUAAUAUGCAGGAGCUGGUAGCCGCCGUCUAGCAGAGCUGUUCUUUGGGAAAGUCUGUCUCCGCCGGCAACCAUAAGUCACCCCGUCCUCGCCGUCGCCGGGUCCUUCUCCUUCCGGAAGACCCUGCGGCUGCUGCCCCUCUGUUUCAUCCUGAAAGCGGAAGACCCCCCGCGAAGAACCCACAUCCAUAUUCCCCGUGCGGAGGUCUCCGUCUACCCUAGUCCGCUCCUACGUCUGCCCUAAUCCCUCCUCCCCCCGGACCAGACGAUAUGAUCACUGCCUCGGACCUCUACCAUGUUCUCACGGCGGUGGUGCCGCUGUACGUGGCCAUGAUCCUCGCCUACGGCUCGGUGAAGUGGUGGAAGAUCUUCUCCCCCGACCAGUGCUCCGGCAUCAACCGCUUCGUCGCCAUCUUCGCCGUCCCCCUGCUCUCCUUCCACUUCAUCUCCACCAACGACCCCUACGCCAUGAACUACCGCUUCAUCGCCGCCGACACGCUGCAGAAGCUCAUCAUCCUCGCCGUGCUCGCCGUGUGGACCAACGUCAGCUCCCGGGGCUGCCUCGAGUGGAGCAUCACCCUCUUCUCCGUCUCCACCCUCCCCAACACGCUGGUGAUGGGCAUCCCCCUGCUGAAGGGCAUGUACGGCGCCGCCACGGGCACCCUCAUGGUGCAGAUCGUCGUCCUCCAGUGCAUCAUCUGGUACACCCUCAUGCUCUUCCUGUUCGAGUACCGCGGGGCGCGUCUGCUCAUCGCCGAGCAGUUCCCCGACACCGCCGGCUCCAUCAUCUCCUUCCGGGUCGACUCCGACGUUAUCUCCCUCGACGGAAAGGAGCCGCUGCAGACCGAAGCGGAGCUCGGCGACGACGGCAAACUCAGGGUCACCGUGAGGAAAUCCGCCGCUUCCCGCUCCGACGUCUUCUCCCGGCAUUCUCACGGCCCGGCGGGGGCGGCCAUGACCCCGCGGCCGUCGAACCUCAGCAACGCGGAGAUCUACUCGCUCCAGUCUUCCAGGAACCCCACGCCGAGGGGGUCGAGCUUCAACCACGCCGACUUCUACACGGCGGCAGCGGCGGGUGGCCGGAACAUGCCUGGUCUGAGCCCACGGAGCUCCAACUUCGGCAACAUGGGCUUCGACGAGGAGACCGGCGGCGGUAAGCUGCUGAGGCCCAACGGAGCGGCUGCGGGGGCGCGGAGGAAGGGGGAUGGGGGCAAAGAGCUGCACAUGUUCGUGUGGAGCUCCAGCGCGUCCCCCGUGUCGGAAAUCGGUGGUCAACUCUCCAGAGGGGGAGAGCUCGGGAGCGACGACCACUGUAAUGGUGAGAGAGUCGCUCUCUUCCCAGGCGCGUUAGUUCUCCAUGCGCGCAGCUGCUGCAGCUGACCUCCAUGAUUUUGGGAAUGGUUUUUGCAGAGGCUCUGCAGAGGGAGAAAGACGAGUGCAACAAUCUAGCGAAGCCCGCGGCGGCGGGGGCGUCGUCGACGCCGCCGGCGAGCGUGAUGACGAGGCUCAUCCUGAUCAUGGUCUGGCGGAAGCUUAUCAGGAAUCCGAACACCUACUCCAGCCUCAUCGGCCUCAUCUGGUCUCUGGUUUCCUUCAGGUUGGUCCAAAAUCUCCCCUCAAUCACAACUGCGGCGUUCUUCGUGAGAUAUCUUCUGACCAGUGAUCCCAAUGAGGCAGGUGGGGAAUCGAGAUGCCCGCCAUUAUCGCCCGCUCGAUCUCCAUCCUUUCCGACGCAGGGCUGGGCAUGGCGAUGUUCAGCCUCGGUAAAUCCUUGGUUUUUCUCGCUCUCUCGUACAGGGAGCGGAGGCGAGUUAACUCCGUCUUCUUCCUCCUCAGGCCUGUUCAUGGCGCUGCAGCCAAAAAUCAUCGCCUGCGGGAACUCCGUCGCCGCCUUCGCCAUGGCCGUGAGGUUCGUCACCGGGCCGGCGGUGAUGGCCGCCGCGUCCAUAGCCGUGGGGCUGCGCGGUGUCCUCCUGCACAUCGCCAUCGUGCAGGCGGCGCUCCCGCAGGGGAUCGUCCCCUUCGUCUUCGCCAAGGAGUACAACGUGCACCCGGACAUCCUCAGCACCGGGUUCGUCGAGUAGCUCCGCCAUUACCGCCGCCGCCAAGCUCCCCCUUCUCGCCGCAGAGAUGAUCUGACCGAAGUUUGCUCGUCCAUGCUCGCAGGGUCAUCUUCGGGAUGCUGAUAGCGCUGCCCAUCACGCUGGUUUACUACAUCCUGCUGGGGCUCUGAAGCGGGGAGGAGGACGGACGGAGAUCGGACGAUUCAGGGAAGCCGCCGGGGAAGAGGUCGGACAUCGGGGAAUGGGGUUGAUUAGCUCUCUGGGAGAGAUUCUUGCGGGUCGCUGUUUAGAAGUAAAAAUCUAUGCUCUUCUUUUGCUGAAAGUCAACGCUGUUCUCUCUCUCCCUCUAACCUCCGUCGGCCGUGGCAAGCGGCACUCAGAGUGGUAAACGGGUUAAGUUACAGAGAGAUCUAAAAAGUAAAUCGGUCAGUGGGGGCAUUCCGAGAAUCGAACUCGGGACCUCUCGCACCCAAAGCGAGAAUCAUACCACUAGACCAAAUGCCCGGUUGAGAUCAAGUUUAAAAAUUAAAAAUUAAUAAUCUAAAAUAAUCACUUCACCAUAUUUCCCUCGUAGAAGCUCCCCUCCCGGAGAAUCCAUGGCCGGAGUUAACCGUAGAACAAUGGAUCGAGACAGAACGCUGGUAACCAUUGCCCCACUUUUCUUAUGAUUUUGAUUUGCAUAGUAGACGGCAACCGGAGCGAUCGCAGCGGUAGUGCGUGGAUGCUCCGGAAAGAUACUUCGGAGUCGACGAUGGGGCUCUACUUGCUAUAUACCCGGGAUACUGCUCAACUUAUUUACCACAUACCUAAAAUACGUAUAAUUUGAUUCCGUUUUCUGCAAGGUUUGUCUAAGUAUUGCUAGUUCUGCUCCCUUUGGUGGGCGAACGAUUUCUGCUUCUCGACGCGGUUCGUUGUGUUCUUGUAAGAUGCCGGGUGAAAUGUGUUACGAACUCGCGUGGUUUUAGCUCCUAUUGGCUGAGGACUGGAGAAGGUCUACUGGUUCUACUGCGCUUUAAAACGAAAGUUUGUUUAUUGUCGAAAGAAGAAUUGUUUUGAGUGCUCAUUCUCCAAACUUGUAGACGUCACUGUUGCUAUUCCAAAUAGGAAUCUCAGCAUUCCAUCAAAUAAUAUUUCUUGUGCGCGUUCAUCUUAGCGAACGUAUUUCUUGGCUUUAAAAGCUCUGCUGUGAUUCGUCAGGAUUUUGAUGGAUUCUUGAAUAACCUACAAGAUUGGGAUGCCCUUAAGGUUGGAGACGGCGCGUCAAAGACUCGACCUAAAAUAUACAAGGAAGGAGUAAGUAAAUCUCUCUAAAAUUUCUUGAAAUAAUUGUUGCCUGUGAUAGGUAUACAUCCCAUUUCGGUUGUUGGUUGUUUCAUGUCAGAAUCUAAAAAACUUGUUUCAACCCGAAGUCCGUUUGCCAUUUUAAGUCGCAACCAUGCAUGCUCUCAAAACAAAUAUGUUCCGAAGAAUUUAUUAUAUCAUACAUUAUUGAUUUCAUGAGUUGACCGUUUGUCAUUUUAAGACGCAGCCUUGCAUGCUCUCAGAACCAACGUGUUCCGAAGAAUUUAUUGUAUCGUACAUUAUUGAUUUCAAGAGUUGAAUGAUGUUGUCUAUUCUCUUAGCUGAGAAAUGUAAUGAACUUAGAAAAGGACAAAAAAAGGAAAAACGGGCAUAUAUUGUGAUUUACUACCAUACAAUUAUCAGAUGGGUAUUUUUUCUUACGUUCAUGUGACUAGACUGGAAUGAUUGCUGGGUACAGUUGAAAGACUGAUCUCACUAUGCAUCAGUCCUCUUAUGGUAUUCUACUAACAGGAAUUCAGGCAUCAGCGCACCACGAGUUAGCAAAGGAUUCAAGAGUUGAUUUCUAAGGAGACCUCUAGCUCAAGUUCGUUUACUAAUGAUAUUUCUAGUCUGAAAUUUGUCUUCUUUACAUGUAUGAUAAACUUGUAUCUUACUGGAGAUUGGUCUGGACAAAACAAUAAAACCACGAUAGAACUGGCUUUUAGUGGAUCCUGCGCGGUAUAUGACUCUGAUAACCCUUUCAAGGUAGUUAUUUAAUAAUUGUUGUGAAGAGUGGUUUCAAAAUUUAUUUAUUAUUUUUAAAUUUUUUUUAAAAAAAAUGAAUAAAAAUGUCUUCAAGGACAUGGGCUAUGUAACUAUUUUUCUCUCUUAUCACACAUGACAUGGGUUGUAGCCCCCUUAAAUGGAGUUCCAAUGAGAUUAGGCCAGCUGUUCUAAUAACACUUGCUUAUACAAAAACUUACACAGUAAAUAAGGUCCAGUAGAGGCAAAGCAAACAAAAAUAAGCAAUGCAUCCGGAGACAAUUUUGGUCCAUUUCUUGUACUCUGUAUUAAGAAGAGGGCGUUCUUUGGUUGUAAAGGACGAGGACUUGCUUUUUGGAGGACAAAGAGGAGUUGACCGUAUAUUCUGAGUAGCCUUCUUUCCUUGAACGACUUAGAUGUCUCGUAUUUCCCAGAAAAAGUGAUUCAAUUGACGGGAUUUGGUAUGAUACUUAUGUGACUGACGAAAUCUUCGAGCCUGCGUGGAUGAUGGUAGUUUCUGUGGAUCAGCAUAAUCUGUUUUGGUUAUUAACACUGGAUCUGUAAAAAUUCUCCAUCCUAUGCUGUUUUAUCCAUGAAUAGCCAUGUUUUUGUGGUGAAAUAAUCUCUUGGGUAAUGGGUCUUCAUUUGUACCCUUGUUUUCAUAUUUCGCAGGUUGCCUCUCCAAAUUCAGGAAAGGAAGUGAGAGCUCAAAGAAAAGUUUCACCAACUGAAGUCAAGAAGCAGACCUCCCGGAUAUCAGAAAUCUCUCCCAAAGGCAGUCGCGAAACUUACAGGAAUUUCAGCAGUUCAGAUGCAACAGAAUACACAUCUUCUCAUUUGUUAGAUGAUGAAUCUCUCCCGACAGCAGCUUCAGAAAAGGAGCUAGUAGGGUUCCCAUUCUCCUCUUAUUAUUUACAAUGGACAGUUAGGAAUAUGCUCUGCUGGUCUAAGGCUUUGGAAAUUAAUAUAUUUUUUCCCUUUUAUUUCCUUUCCAGGGAAACGAAUACUUCAAGCAGAGAAACUUUUCUAAGGCAAUUGAAUGCUACUCCAGAAGUAUUGCGCUGUCACCAAGUUCAGUAGCAUUUGCAAAUAGAGCAAUGUCAUAUCUCAAGUUGAAAAGGUGAGUAUUAUUUAUGUAUAAUUCAUUCAAUUAUUAUCUUGCGCGCGAAAAGGCCUUUGGACUUGUUGAUUUUGGGCUAGCACUACUGAAACUAAUGAAUGGUUCGAAUGCCUAGAUGGAAUUCAGUUGUACAAAGAAAUGGCCCAACUUUCUUUGAUUCAUUAGAGAGAAUGACACUGCUUGCCACGUGGCGAAUAUUGAGGUUGUUCUGUUUCUUCUGGGGGGUAUUUUCAUCAAGUAGCGUAUCGGGGCUCAUCUAGUGUUCAAUUGAAAAUAUUGCCCAGAAUUUGAGUCAGAUUGCACGAGUUGUGUAAAUUUGUCCCGUGGCACUGUUACAAAAAAAAAAAAACCUCGAGGAUUGAAGUGUGAUGCUUGUUUUUUUUCACUGUGUGAACCCAAACUUCUCGUACCUUCUUAUAUGUCUACUCGUUUCUUUAGACUGUUGUGCUUUGUCUCCCUGGUCUUCCCAGUAUCAGCCAUCCUUAUGCCUCUUCUUCUUCCCAUAACACAUUUAUAAUGCAUGUUUCAACUAUAUACACAUCUCUUGAAGCACACCCACUCUGAGGCACCAUAGACACGGGAAGGAGACCCAACUCCAUUAGUUUUUUUCUUCUACUGAAUAAAUGUAUAAAUAAGAGGGGGGAAAAGAACACACCCCGGCCAAACUCUAGCUGCCGGGGAGCUAUUUCUGGCACUGCGUUCCGCUGCUUGAGGCCUGUUUUGUGCAGUCAUCAAGAAUUCUCAGUACUGCUGUAAUGUCGCUUGCUGUUUACUGCAUUUAUUACUCUCAGACACUAUUUUUUUGCCUUUUCCACUGUUGCCAUUCCUUCAGCUAUUUCUGUUCAGCAUGGAUGGAUUAAACUAUUGGUAGAAUUGUGUGUCCCUACAGAGCCAUCAGUUCCCUGUUUAGCCCUAGUCAUUGUAUGCAAGUGGAUUAUUUUCUCCAUGUGAGUAGCACAAAUACGGAACAUAUGGAACAUUGCUCUAUGAAAGCAGCCUUCUAAAAGGCUUCACAUUUUUCUCCGAUGCAUUGAAAGAAUCAUAGUUUUCUAAGUGCCGGUAAUAAUUAUGAGCAAUUUUACUUUAUUCAGUUUCUAAGACAGCAAAAAGUUAGCAUGAGAUUUCAGAUAGUUGCCAGUAAAUCAUUUUUUGUGCACUCUUCUUGCAACAACGCUGUGAGAAGAGUUAUUUCAUUUUCUUGUGACUAGGGUCCAUAUUUUGUUCACAGAAGCAACUUGCUUUUGCCUAUUUGCUGAAGAUGGUUGAACAUUAUGUCAAACAUGAUCUUUUUUUGUUUCCUUUUCUGGGACGCUUCCAGGUAUUUUUGUUCUUCACUCUGUGAUUGCUUUUGAAUUGAUUUUCUUCCUGCCAGAUUCGAAGAAGCUGAGGUUGACUGCACAGAAGCCUUAAAUUUAGAUGAUAGAUACGUAAAAGCAUACUCUAGACGAGCGACAGCCAGGAAAGAACUCGGGAAACUUAAAUCAUCCCUUGAAGGUUGUGCAUAUUAUUAUUCGAGCAUCCUACUUGUAAUCAUAAUUUAACAAAUUUCGCUGUUGUAUCCCGUUUUUGUUGACGACUUGUAAAUUGCAGAUUCUGAGUUUGCAUUGAGACUCGAGCCCAACAAUCAAGAGCUCAGGAAACUGUAUACUGAGACAAAAGCACUCUAUGAUGAGGUAAAUCAUGUGCUGACAUGUAGAUACUUCAUGGUUUCUGAUUCAGUCGUUAGCAGUUCUAAAACAUAGAUUAUAGUUGCGGAUUAAAGCUAAUGAUAGUUAUUACCGAGAUAAGUCCGCUGUCCUUUGGUUUCAUUUCAGAGACUGACACUGCGUGUAUGCGUUCUCGUGUUUUAUUAUCUUUAAAUACGGAUGACUGCUACUUCUACGGUCUCUUCAAACCUUGUUCUGCCAGAAAGAUUUAUAUGUAAUUAUCGUAUGAAUUUAAUACAGGAAAAUGCCAAAAAGGUAUCUGGUGCAGCGAAAAGCACCAGUAAACGAAUUCCAGAGGAAAGGAUUUCAGAGAUUGGAAAUGGAAGUGCUGCUGCUGUCGACCACAUCCCAAGUAACUCACAGAAGAUUACACCAACUGCUGGUCUUUCCAGCAGUGAGGUAUCUCAUAUCCUUGAACACCGCUUUCCAUAAGUUUUUGGUCCUUUUGGUUUACUUCUCUUCUUGAAAAGGCAUGCUACUUUGUAGAAUCUUGCAGAGUUUUGUGAAUCUUGUGGCAAGUCGACCUGAUGGUAGAUGGUAUAUGUUGUCUAUCCCGCAUGCUAUUGGAUAAUAAUAACUCAAAAAAGGCAUUAAAAUCUGUAUUUUGGGGGAGUAUUUUUUUUUUAAAGGGCCAUCCAUCCUUUUUCCAUCCCAUCUUUCUUAAGCAUUGCAUGAUAUUUAUGAAAGGUCAUCACUUGAUGUCUUUCAUGGUUAUUUUGGACAUGUAACAUUGGGUUUGCCGGUUAUAUCUCGUGUGAAACUCAGUUAACUUGUAGUUUCAAUACCGAUUUUGUUACCGAAAAAUAAAAAAAGAUUGCGUCAUCUUCAAUUUUGAGGUAUCUCGUCUUUUAUUCUCUGGUGAUGCCACGACAUCUAUUUCUCUUCUUGGCAUGGGAACGCUGGCAGUUGUUCCGCCUUUCUACCCUGCUGAGAGAGGAGUAUUUGCUUCAGCCUUGGGCAUGAUCAUUCUCAACUCUCUAAUAAUAGACCCGUUGUUAAUCACAGAUUCUGAAGCGUUUUCGUUGACUUUGUUGAUCUCAAGCAGAGAAAAAUUGCCAAGAAGCAGGAGCAGAAGCCCCUCGCAUACGAGCUUGCCUCUCGUGCUGCCUCCCUUGCCACAAGCGCUAUUCCCGAGAGAAUCACUACCCCAAGAACAGCCUAUGAACUCGAGGUCUCCUGGAGGCUUCUGUCUAGCGACUCUCAGAAGCAGACGAACUUAUUGAAGGUUAUCUUUUUUAAAAUGUUUCUCCAUGGCCUGAAUCUUAUUAUUUUAUCUUUCCAUGGUCUCAUUUUGUAUUCUCCUCUGGGGCCAGAGCAUCUCCCCUGGCUCCUUACCUCAACUGUUCAAGAAUGCGCUCUCUGCUCCGAUGCUGAUUGAGAUCAUCAGGAGCACCUCGACAUUCUUCAGGUGUGUCCUCUGUCUCCUUGCGUGGCUCCGCAUGUGACCCCCGUCUGUUUCUGAGCCAUGGCUGUUGCAGGGAGGAGAUGGAGCUGGCCGUCAGUAUUUUAGAUAAUCUAACCAAGGUCCCAAGAUUUGACGUGAUCAUAAUGUGUCUCUCUGCACUAGAUCGAGCUGGUACGCCCUUCAAUCCUGUUCCUUGCGCAUUGGAAUCUGUCGGGCAGCCUCUUUUUUAGUUAUAUUAUCAAUAAAAAAGCGCAUUUCAAGCCGACGCAUCAGCAUUGCUGUUCUUGUCGAUUAGCAGACGUCCAUGACGACCCAACACUCCCGUUUCCUGUGGUUCCUCAUCCCCGGAAUGGGAAUAAUCUGCGGAUGGGCCGACUUCCAGCCUUUUAAAGUCAUUUUAACAGCUUUUAUAUUCUUUUUCUGGUAAACGGCCGUAGCUACUGAGAGUCGUCUCGUUCGAUCAGAUCUCCGCAGGAUAUGGGAUGAAGUCUUCUCCGGCAACGCCGUCCCCGAUGAGCAUGCCGAGGCGUUGGCUCGGCUACGACGCCGGUACUGCGCUGGGGCUUGAACACCCACUGCUCAAGCCCUUCGACGGUCGGAGCUUGAAGAACAGGCGGGAGAUGGGGGGAGGAGGAAGGAAGCCAGCGAUGAUCAUCAGAGAUGAGCGCCACGAGUCUCAGCUAUUUAUCGUCGCAGUCCUCGGAGGUCCAGAGCGCUGUAAAUGGGGAGUAAGUUUGAUGGUUGCCGGAGAAAAAAACGAGCUUUUUUAGCAUGCAGGCUACUGGCCUACAGGCACCUUUUCUUUUCUGCGGAAACCAAUAAAGCUGUAAAAAAAAAUUGCUUCGAGGGUGUGGUUCUUAACGGGCUCGGCGUGAAAGAGAGAGGGUUUUUGACCCUUCUGCAUCUUCUUUUAGGGUUUUGACCCCCCCCGGGUUAUCCCACUGAUGGCGGAGACCUCCUGUUCCUCUCAGCCUUUACUGUGAGAGAGUAAACAGUGGAAUCCUCCGUCAGUAAUGUCAGACAAGCACCCAGUAUUGAGCGGGGCCAUUCAUGGCGAAGACCCGUAACAAGCGUCAUAUUCCCCGAUGACCCAGUAGGUACGCUUCACGUGAUGUGUUCUCCUGCAGUCCAUAGAAGAACCCUAGACGACCCCUCAUCUUCAAGCGAUCCUCUUGUCUCCGUCUCCAGACUUCGGUGCUGCCACAUGCUGUUUGGGUUCUUCUAUUUCUUCAUCGGCAGCAUGGUGGGGAUCGUAUUCUCUAGUUAAAUGGCUGUUUCGAGCUGGCCUUGAUGCCGCUGCCCGAGGUCUCCCCUACCUUCCACCUAACAGGGCUAGCAGGGUGGGUGGCGGAUUGGGAAGAAGGUGCCCGAGAAAUUUAUCCGUUGAGAUUGAUCAUAUUGACCAUGAUAUACUGUGAAUUAUUGGGCGCGAUCAAGAACAAUCUGCUGCUUCUGUAGAAUCAUUUCAGGGGUUGGGAUCGGUAUUCGUCCAAUCAUUGUUCCUCAUCAGCGGGUGGGCGGCGUUCAUUCCCAGCCCACUCCGAUCCUUUCCUCGGGCGCCUCCGUGCAGUUAAUCGUAGAUCUUGGACUCGGCAAGUGGCGACGAGGGCGAGCCGGUGAGGCGCAUUCAGUGCAAGGUCAACGGGGACAAUCGAUCCUUCUUUUCUGGAAGGGAUCGUCGCCCGUUAUAAUGGCAUCCACUGCCGGCCCCUUCCCUGACUUCGGAAACCCAACUGGCGGCUGCGGAGAAGGGAUGGACGAGAUCAAGGGAAAUGGUUGAACUGUCCUCAUAAGAAGGGGUAGCGGGAGGCGAAGAUACGCAAAUCGAACCAGAGAAAUCUCUGAUAAUCAGGGGUCAACGAGAUCAGGGAAAGAAGGGGUGGAAGGGCUUCUUGCAGUCUUCCCUCUCCUCCAGGGCAGGUCGACGUCCCUUUGUCGGCUGCUCGCUCGCCCCCUCUGCCCAGUUCCCUUCUCCUGUCAGGCCGCGGAGUCCGGUAGGGACCGGAGGUCCUGGCCCUACCGAGGUCUGUCUCUGCGUGCGAAUUAAUGCCAGCCUCCCUUCACGUGGCUCACCUUCCCCUUGCUACGCUCCACACUCUCUCUCCUCCCUCUAAACUGAUGUCACGACAAGUGGGUCGCUCGAAUCCGAUCAAAAAAGGGAUUACUUUGAGGAGCAGAAAGUUUUUACGCGUCAAAUGAUGUUCUUCAGUAAUUUAUUAUCGAGCGCCGCAAUAAAAAAUUUAUUUCACGAGCAGAAUCGUUUUGAGUGCGAGUGAAGUCCGCGGAUUCAGGAUCUCUUUUUCAACGUCCCAGCUUGACGCAGGACACUGUUCUUUGAUGGGUAAAGUAUCUGUUGCUCCUCCUCGCUGCUCCACUGUGGACUCCUCGGGGUUCUCCUCGCUUGGGUGGGAGUAGCAGCCAGCUGAGGCCCGCUCUCCAGCCUCUCUCCUCCCGAUUCGUCUCUACAGUGAGUAGCGCAUUGGGUCUCUCUUCUCGGCGCUCCUCUCCUUGCUCUGUCCGUGCUAGGUUGAGCGCGACCUUCUUCUCUCCGGCUCUUCCAUUGCUCUCUCCGUGAGGUGGCUCAUUUUCUUCAGCGCAUUCUCAAUUCUUCUCAGGUUUAAGGUGGGUUUCUUCGUGGGGUUGACCGCCGGAGGCUUCGCUUUUACGGCGCUGAGAGUAGCUCGGUUUCUGGGUUCCCUCCGGAGGUGAUGGGCUUCAUCUCAAGGAGGGUUCUCCCCGCAUGCGGGAACAUGUGCGUCUGCUGCCCGGCGCUGAGGCCGAGCUCCCGGCAGCCCGUGAAGCGGUACAAGAAGCUCCUCGCGCAGAUCUUCCCCAAGAACCUCGUGAGUGGCUCCGGCGCCGAGAUCCCCUUUUCCCUUUCCCUCCAAUUUGCUCAAACUUCUCUCCGUCGUCUCAUAGCGCCUUGCAUCCAUCAGUAUAGCUGAUCCGAACGGCUAAUGGGCAAGUUCAUUCCAGUUUUCCGGGCAAAGAUGAAGUGAUCAAGUGCAUCCUGUGUUUUCGGACAGGCAUUUUCCGGCCAUGCUCUUAUUUGCUUUCCUGGUUCAUCUAUUCAGGACGGGCCCCCAAAUGAUCGGAAGAUCCUCAAGCUCUGUGAAUAUGCUGCUCGGAAUCCGCUACGCCUACCAAAGGUGAAACUUUUUUUAUGAAUCUGUUUUCAGUGUUAUGGUUUUUAAUUAUCCAACGCCCCAGAAAAGAAGAGAAGGAAAACUCACUGGAAGUCAUUACUUUUUUGUGAAGAUUGCAAAGUUUCUUGAGCAGAGGAGCUACAAAGAAUUGCGGAGUGAGCACAUCAACUUCAUCAAAAUCAUCACAGAGACCUAUAGUAAAUUGCUCUGCAUAUGCAAAGAGCAGAUGUAAGUCGUGUUGCAUUAUUUUUGUCUCCAUACUUAUUUUCUUGAGACACCUGCAACGGCUAGCACUGCUCAGGACUUUUCUAGGAUGAAAGAGACUGGUCACCAACUUUUUGUAGUAAAAGACAGCCGAUUUGAACGGAUUGUGGGAGGGGCCAUUUUAGAGAGAAGCUAUGAUUUGAAAGCAUAGAUUUGUUGCUUCAGAUUCCUUGUUUGAUGCAACUAGGCUUCAAUUCAUGCCGCUUUGGGCUAUUAUUGCGGGCUGCUUUGUCAUUAUGAAAGAUAUUUAAAGGGCGAGCUAUGGGAGCAACGCUUUGCGUCCGUCAAAGUCCUAUCUAUGACAGUGGGUGGUGCAGAUAUGGCAGUCUUUUUUUUUCUUUUUAAACUGUUGGCCGAUAUUAUGAGACAUAAUUUGAUUUCUGGAUGGAUAUCUAUCGGUAUUUAGGUGUGUGAUAUGAUGUGGGUUUGACUGUUACAUGUAUAUCUCAUUAUUACAUCUUUUGUUUAUUUUUUAAUUCAAACAGGGCUUACUUUGCUGUUAGUCUACUGAACGUGAUUGUUGAGCUUUUGGAUAAUAAACGAGCAGAAACUGUGCACAUCCUCGGGUGCCAGACUCUGACGACGUUCAUUUACAGUCAGGUGAGUACUUCUUGCUAGAAUUUAAGUUUGAGUUAUUACUGUACUUAUUUCCAGCCAAUAGGUCAAUUUUUCUUCUUUUCUUUGUACGCCUACCUACUGACUGGGCCUACAUGAGGUUGGGUACAUCGGCAGUGGGUUGGACACAGUUCAAAUGGCUUCAGGGAAUGAGAUUUAUGCCAUUAUCAGUUUUUGGUUCUUGUACUAGUUUGCUCGUCUUCUUUUGGCUGCUUUCUACGUGAAUUCAGUUCACUGGUUUUUGGAACUUAUCUUUUAUGGUAUUAUCAGUGGUUGGUUCUCGCACUUUUUUUUUUGUCUUCUUUUGGCUGCUUUCUACGUGAAUAAUUUUCCAAUCCUGAUCUUUAAUGUAUAUUAUGCUUUACGCAAUGAUUCUUUCUGAACCUGAAAUGCUUGAACAGGCGGAUGGCACGUACGCACACAAUAUUGAACAUUUAAGUCAUAGGGUGUGCAUGCUUGCCAAAGAAGGAGGUGAAGAGGAUGCUGCACGCCGUUUGAGGGCUACAAGCCUGCAGUGCCUCUCAGCAAUGGUUAUUUUCAUUCUUCUAAUCAUUUUUAAGAACUGCGGGAUCCUUUUUUUUUUUGCCAGCAAUAGAAUUCAGCAUCGGUAAUGUAAACCUUGAGGAUCAUAGAAUUGUGUCUUCAUGCUAUGAGCGAAAAUCUUUCAUUUAUGGAUUACUUGUUGCCUGUUUUCAGCGUGGUUGCUGAAUAUGACUUUUAGAAUAUAUUGAGACUCAAUUUUUUUGAUACCUUCUUCAUCAUAUACGAAUUCCCCAGCAUUUAGGUUAAUUUACAUUCCCUAGUUGUCUUGGCCCAUCUUACAUGUUGAUGAUUAUCAUGGCAAUGAUGUAAGGUACGAUGGGGCGCAUUCCCAUGUACAUGCGUCCAUAGGUGUUGGUUCGUUCCUCUCUGAGUUUCCAUUUCCAUUGUGUGAGGCCCAAUAAGUUUACAUCUUAUGGUGAUAUAUAUAUAUUAAGUUGGGCAUUCCCACACAUAUCCAACAUUGGCAUCUUUCAUUAACAAAAUUGAAGUAAAUUUACCUGUUAUUUUCUAUUUCAGGUGUGGUUCAUGCAGGAGUAUUCUCACUUUUUUGCUGGUUUUGAUGAGGUAUAUGCUCUUAUGCACUUGAUAUUUCUUAAAAGUGAGUGUUGGGCAUACUGGAAUUAUUUUUUCUGAAUUCUGAGUUUUUCCACCAUAUGGAUGCUGUAAUGCAGAUCGCGGUUGUUGCUUUAGACAAUUAUAACUCAAGUCAAUCCACCGAAGAAAGUGGUGCAAGUCAGGAGUCGAGCCAUAAUUGGGUUAAUGAAGUUGUUAGAUGUGAAGCAAGAGGCCUCUCAGGGAUUGGAACUGAUAUUAACUCAAACAUCCUCGGCAGGCCUAGGCCUGAGAUAAGAGAUACUUCUUUACUGACAAGGUUUGCCUUUUAUGAUGACAUUACGCACAGUGAAUCAUAUUUAACCGCUUACUCUGGCAGAUAUCAAAAGAAUUCUAAUGAGAUGAUGAAAUUACUGAAAUGAAGUGUAGUUAUUUGUGUUGUGAUUUUGUUUGGUAAUUUCUACUCUUUUUUUUCCACCAAAGUUUGCCUGGUAGAUAGCACGACUCGUUGAUCUCCAAGCUAUUUCCGCAGAAAAGUGAGAAUCGUUGAGAAGAAGUUUUAAACAUAUGACUCCAAGUUUAAAUACAAUUUUAGUGCUGGAAAUACCAUCCCUCCUCCUCAAUGCACAUUCAAUUUCUGGAGUUUUUGAGUUAUUUUUCCUUUUUUGUAACUACUUUGCAUUUGUCUCAGGGAGGAGAUUGAAACGCCAGAGAUUUGGGCACAGAUAUGUAUCCAAAAAAUUGUUGAAAUGGCUAAAGAAAGUUCAACAAUGAGACGUAUAUUAGAACCUAUGUUUAUCUACUUCGACACCAAGAAACAUUGGAUUCCUGAUCAGGGCCUGUCAAUGCUGGUUCUCUCUGACAUUUCUUACUGGGUGAAGGGCUCAGGUGCUUAAGCUUACUUUUAUUUUAUUUUAUUUUAUUUUUGAAAGUUGCUUGUUCUGUUUAACUGCUUUCACCGCAUGGUCCUGAUAAACGGUGCAUUUUACAAUCUUAGACAGGAUAGUUCUACUUGCCAUCAAAACGCUGUUAUUUUUCUUUUUAGUAUCACAUAUUUCCUUUUCUUUUUCCCUCCCUAAAUCUUUCUGAUUCUCUUCUUUUUCAUGACUGUUACUUAAACCAUUUAGCACUUUGCAGUCUUCUGUGAAUCUCAAUCUAAAUCGAUUAUUAUGUGUUGCACUGUGCUAGAAUAUUAUCGCAUUAUUUUACGCCAGAGGUAGUGGAUUUAGGAGCUUCCCUUUAACGUGUAAACAUCACAGAGAGGCUGAUAAUGUCCGACUUGCCUCUAAUUUUCUGAUCUGUUUCUCUUCGUCUGCUGCUGUUGUGUACUCUUCUUGCUUACCAAUGUUAUAUAUCAGCAUGAUUCAUAUGCUUAUCACAUUGCCACCUUGUUUGAGAAAUAUCUUCUUUGGAGACCCUGCUGAUCUUCAGUUUCUGCUUCUUUGGACUUCUGGCAGGUAAUGAGCAGGGACUUAUAACUGCUGUCAUCCGACAUUUGGACCACAAAAAUGUUGUACAUGAUCCGAAAGUCAAAUCUGAUAUAAUUCAGAUUUCUGCGGGCUUGGUUCGGCAAUUAAGAUCCCAAAAUGUCGUUCCUGAAAUUGGAGUGAUCAGCGACCUGUGCAGGCAUUUGAGGAAGAGCCUUCAAGCGACUGUUGACGUAGUUGGACCUGAAGAAUCUGGCUGGAAUUCCUCGCUACAGAGUUCCAUCCAAAACUGCUUACUAGAGAUUGCCAAAGGGGUACGCUUGCCUCUCUCAGAACAUAUCUUCUGCACUGAAUAAUAUUUUUAACUUGGUUAUUUUUUUACCAUCAAUUUUUAUUUCUCCCAGCUUCUAUUUAGCAAGAAAAUCAGUUGGUUAUCCAUUUUUUUGACUCUUAUGGUCUCCUGGUCCUUCAUUCACCAGAUUGAUGAUGCGCACCCACUGUUUGACAUGAUGGCCAUAACAUUGGAGGAGCUCCCCCCUGUUGCAAUUGUCUCUAGGGCAACGAUCGGAUCUUUACUCAUACUUGCGCACAUUAUUUCUAUGACAGUCCACUCACAUUCGCAGGUAGUAGGAUUAUCUGAUCUCCAAUUUUUAAUGCUACCCAGUUUCUUUCCUGUAGUAAUGCAUUUUAUUUUCUUUUUCUGUGAGUUUAUUUUCGCAGACUGUGCUCCGUAAUUUUGGUUCAAGUUUGCCACUGCCUGUUUUUGGAUCCCCUUUUUUGGACGUGGAAUCAUGAUAGGGGUUAUUGGCACACGGAGGUUGGAUCCAAAGGAAGGAAUGGAGUAAUUUGACCUUAUUUGGGUGUAUAGCGCAAGAAAAGCUCAAUAAAUUUAGUACCUGUGAUUCAACUUCUUUUUACACACUUCCUUCCAUUCUUGCCUGGACUUGAGAUGGAAGGGCUCAAUUCUGAAUCAAAGUUAUUGGAUGAAAUUUUUUUAUUCUGGCCCAUUGUUGUCUUGAACUUCUCAGACAGGUUAUAUGGCUCUCUCCGUUUUUGAGAAGAAUUCAAUUCUGGCAGCGACACUAUUUCUCUCACAAGAAUAGACAAUCCUUCGUUCUUAAUUAAGAUCUACUGAACUUAAUGUUUAUCUUUCCUGAUCACCAUACUGGGGUGAUCAUGUAGAUGCACCUGGGUAGCAUAUGCAAUUAAUCUCUCAGACAGUACACGAUCUUACUAUUGCUUUAUGUGGGCCAUGUGGCUAUGCCACUAUUGCCACUGACAGAGAUUUAUUUCAUGCUCAUUUUAUCCUUCCCUUAUUCUUGAUUUGAUCCAGUCUUAAAGAGAUUAUAUUUUUGCUUUGGGUAUCCACAUGCCGUAUUCGAUCCUUAAUUUCCCAUUUUGAUUAGUCCUAAAUCUGGGUGAUUAGCAGGUCUUUCCGGAAGCUCUUUUGCUUCAACUGCUCAAGGCGAUGAUGCAUCCAGAUGCUGAGACCCGUGUAGGAGCCCAUCAGAUAUUUUCAAUUCUCCUCGUUCGGAGUCCCAACCAUCAAAAACAUAAUGGCGUCUACGAGCCAAGGAAAUGGCAAUCAGAAACUGCUUCGGCAUUUGCUUCAGCCACUGCUCUGCUGGAGAAACUUCGCAGGGAAAAGGAAUGUCUGAGUGCCGAUAAGCAUCCAAACGAAGAUCGCGAUGGUACUAAGGAAAAGGAAAUAAUUGAUGAAGAUCGUAAGCAUGGGUUCAAUCGAAAGAGCUCUCCAAACUUCUGUAAAAUCAGUUACUCUAUCAUUGAUAGGACUGCCAGUUCCUCCGGCCCGGUAGAGCCAGUAAGUGCCCGUCAUCUCAAAAUGUAUCCAUUUUUCAAAUUUUUUUAGCAGAAUGUUUAACAUUUUAUGCUUAUUUCUUCGAGAUCAUUAGCACAUCCUGUUGAAGAAAGCGCUUAGCUUCGACAUGGCAUUCGAUUUUAUAUAGAAUAUUUUGAUUUUUCUUUCUAUUCUUUUUGUCAGUAUCAUCACGUUUUACUAGUUGUUCCUGACUUUGUUAUUGCUUGUUCAUGGACUCGCGCAGGAAACAAGUAUUACCAUGUUAAAUGAAGAUCAAACAAGCCAGCUACUCUCUGCUUUCUGGAUGCAGGCAAAUCAGCAAGAUAAUUUGCCCUACAACUUUGAAGCGAUAGCCCAUUCAUUUAGCUUAACAAUUCUGUCCUCUCGUUUGAAGGUGAGAUAGGAGAUGCCUGCUACUCCUUGAAGUAUGGUUUCCUUGUUAAUAUCACCUUUAUAUUGCCGGGGUCUCCAUGCUGCUGAUUAUCCAUCGUUCAUUUUUUUUUGCUUAAAAGAAGAAUUUUAAGUUGUCAGUUGACUUUAAUCGCCUCAUAUACGGUGGUCCAUCGUCUAAAUGCUUAAUAUUCCAUGAAAACAGUAUAAUAAUUUUGGCACUCAUAAACGUUUUAUUAGCCUAUGGCACAUAUUAGGAGAUAUUUUCUCAUAACUUUCUUACUUGAAAAUCGUCCUUCUCUUGGGUAAACUCUUGCUAGUGCUGCCAUUUUAUCAGGGGCAUUGAGAUCCUGGGUGCCUAUUUCAUGAGACUUAUAUCCCUAGAACGCUUCUAUUCAUCUUUCUGGACCAUACCAAAAUCCUCUAAUUAUUCAACACAAUCAUGAUCUUGGUGCAUAAAUCGAUCAUUCCUUACUUGUCUUCACUUUUUUAUUUUUUAUUUGCAGAGCUUGAAUCAAAGUAUUAUCGCCAACUUCUUCCAGCUCCCUUUGUCUCUCAGGAAUCUUUCCCUCGAUUCUAAAGGUGGGUGUGAUAAAAUUACCCGAUUUGGAUGUUUUCCAUUUUAUUCUUCUGAUUUUCUACGACUAAUGUUUCUCCCAUGGGGCUUGAACAGGAGGAUCUUCCCAGGCACACCAACGAUCAAUCUUCAGUUUAUCAACGGCCAUGCUUGGAUUUGCAGGAAAGAUUUAUCAAGUUCCUGAGUUGACCGACUCUCUCAAGCCCCUGAAAUUCGCUUAUGUAAGCUGUCUCUUUGCGUCAUCUCAGCUUCACUUAAAAAAAAAAAUCAUGCUUUUCUACCUGAUAUGUUCACCCCACAUGCUUCUAACCAUAAUGUUAAUAGAUUUAUAUGCUAUUAAUAGGAUUUUCGCGGAAAAUUUAGAUCUAAUCUCGUUGUAUUUGCCUCAACCAUAUGCUUGAUUGCUUCUGUUUCAGGACGACCCGUAUCUGUGUGUCAGUGACGAGUUCCAGAUUCAUGUGAAGCCGCUAUCGGACAUCCGAGAGUACAACUCGGAAGCUGACCAGAAGGCUGCCGCCGCUUCUCUCUCUCUUCUGAGGAAGUCUGCGGAUGAAUGUGGAGGAUCUUUGCAGCUCAUCUUGGUUCGGGCUCUCAGCAGACUAACCGACGUAUGAGAUCCAGUCUGUCCUCAUUCCUGCAUUAAUAGUAAUCCGCAUUAUCCCAGUUGACUUUUGGCUAUCUUGCCAGCUGGCCGCGGACGACUUGGACAGACUGUUGUCUGAAACCUUCACCCCUGACGAUGAGCUCCUGUUCGGCCCGAAAUCUGUCUUCGACUGGGUCCGCACUCCGGAGGUCGCCCACUCUGAAGAAUCGCUCUCCUUCGACGAGGUGGGUUCGGCGGCGACUGCCCUCUAGCUUAAGGCCGUUGACCUUGGACAAUAACGGAAGCUUCCAUUGGUUUUUUUCUCAGGAAUGUUCUAGGACCUCGUCUGUCGGGGGUGAGGUCACCAGCGAGUCGCCCGCCGUUGACCAUCUGCACUUCUUCCCCAAGAAGAACGCCCUGCCAUCCUUGCCGCAAGUCAUCAGUGUGGGGCAGCUUCUGGAGUCGGUACUGCUCCUCCCCCCUGCUCUCGCUAUAAACUAAGACCUUGGGCCUUUGCGCCGGCGAUUCUCUCUCCUGUAUUGACAUGGCUGUGUUGAACCAGGCGCUCCAGGUCGCCGGCCAGGUCGCCGGGACCUGCGUCUCGACCUCUCCCCUCCCC
Molecule: long non-coding RNA, 53161 nt
Filed under: Spirodela polyrhiza (greater duckweed)
Lineage: Eukaryota; Viridiplantae; Streptophyta; Magnoliopsida; Alismatales; Araceae
Description: long non-coding RNA (SPOL_LNC001802)
Source: RNAcentral